RNAcentral lists this long non-coding RNA (75686 nucleotides) under Malus domestica (apple). RNAcentral describes it as "long non-coding RNA (MDOM_LNC016009)". The record is from RNAcentral. Lineage: Eukaryota; Viridiplantae; Streptophyta; Magnoliopsida; Rosales; Rosaceae.
UUCCAUCUAUGUAGAUGACAUAGUCUACACUGGAAACUGUAAAACAAUGCUAGAAAAAUUCAAGGAAGAUAUGAAGAUGAAAUAUGAGAUGACAGAUUUGGGAUUGUUACAUCACUUUCUUGGAAUGGGGGUGAUCCAAACCGACUCUAGCAUCUUCAUUCAUCAGAAGAAGUAUGCAAGUUCUUUACUAAGCAAGUUCGGUCUGAAUGAGUGCAAAUCUGUGAUCACACCACUUGUGGCAACUGAGAAAUUAACUAAAGAUGAUGGAAGUGGAGCAGUAAGUGAAGAGUUAUACAGAAGCAUUGUGGGAAGUCUUCUAUAUCUCACUGCUACUAGGCUAGACAUCAUGUAUGCAUCUAGUUUACUUGCUAGAUUUAUACACUGUCCUACUAGCAAGCAUUUUGGAACUGCCAAACGUGUGCUCAGGUACAUCAAAGGGACUAUAGACUAUGGUUUGGAGUAUACAAAGGGCAAGAAAGCAAUGUUGAUUGGCUAUUGCGACAGUGACUGGGGUGGAUCAUCAGAUGAUAGCAAAAGUACAUCUGGAUAUGCAUUUUCUUUUGGAAGUGGAGUUUUUUCUUGGGCUUCAGUUAAACAAAGUUAUGUGACAUUAUCCACUGCAGAAGCAGAGUACAUAAGUGCAUCAGAGGCUACUACUCAAGCUAUAUGGCUGAGAUUUGUCUUGGAAGAUUUCGGAGAACUACAGACUGAAGCCACUUCUCUUCACUGUGACAACACUUCUGCCAUUGCAAUCACUAGGAAUUCUGUCUUUCAUCAAAAGACCAAACACAUAGACAGAAGGUAUCACUUCAUUAAAGAUGCACUGCAAGAAGGAAUCAUUGAUUUGAUUUAUUGUCCCACUGAAGAGCAGAUAGCAGAUAUUUUCACAAAACCUUUAGCCAAUGAUCGGUUCAACUAUCUCAGAAAUUUGCUUGGAGUGAAAUCAGCUCAAGACUUAAAGGGGAGUGUUGAAUUAUAAGUCUCUAGCUGAUUAGAAAUAAGUUGUGAAGUUAAUAUGUGUAUGCACUUAUGUUAAAAUACUAAGUGAGAAGAUAUAUAGAUGUAAAGACCAUGAGUGCCAUGUGUGAUGAUCUUAUAGAUUAGCUAAAUGUGUGGCUGAGAUCUAUUAUUUUGAAUGUCCUUGAUCCAGCUCAGGUUUUGUAAAGCUAUAUAUCCUCUCUUGCACGUUGAGUGCAAGCUAGAGAGACAUUUAAUGAAAACAUUAUUCUUCUGAGUAAUUGCAGAAGAAAGAACCACCACAUUCUCUCUCUGUUUUCUUCUUCUCUUUCGAAUUUGCUCUCUCUAAAAUACUAACAUCGCCUGCUAAUCUCCGAGUCCAUGCCAAACUCAUCAUCACGAUCAUCCAUACACUCUGCUACAGAACCCUCGCAGCGAGGUCUCACUGGAACCCAGCUCACCCCAUGAUCGCCGCCUGCAUCAACGGAGAUGAUCAGAGCGGCCACGAAGGCCAAGGAAAAGAUAAUCGCUGAGGAAUUGGCCAUAGGUUUUGGUAUGGUCUGUGUUUUUAGCUGCCAACUUGUAUUUUGUUGUACGCCUGUUUAAUUACAGAGGGAGACAGAUGAGGCGGCAAGAGAGAGAAGAUAAAGUUGGUGAAUUCUUAUGUGUAUAUUAUUGCACUCCAUUGUGUUAUUUAUAGUAGUAAAAAGUAUAAAAAAGGGAAAGUCCUUGUUCUUUAAUUAAUCCAUAGUAGUAAGAAGGGAAAAUCCUUAUCUUUCAGGUAAUCCAUCUUAGAUAAGACACAAUCUACAAGAUAUUCUGCAGUCCCAUAAGGAUUUUUUACACACAUUCCUAGUAAGUUUGGACUUUGAUAUAUUUAAAUUUGAUUAAAUGAAAAAUUGGAUGCUGAUUUCUUCAAGGAGGUGAUUGUGGAUGCAAAUUUCUCCCUUAUUGAUCUUGGACAAAAUUGCACCUACAAAACAAUUAACACCUUAGGAUCAAGGCCAAGAGCCUCACGCGCCCACGAUGAACGCCGGGGGGGGGGGAGCUUUGGCCGAAGAACCUCUGAUGCCAAAGUUAGAAUUUAGAGAGAAAAGUGUUUAGAGAGUAUUGAGAAUUUUGCAAGUGUGUUGGACCUAGGUUUUGGUGAAAAUGGGAGUCAAUACAUAGGGCAUAGGGUGUAACUUAUGGUUUAAUGUGUGAUUUAAUGGAUUAAUUAGGCAAUUAAUCCAUUGAUUGGUUAAUCAACACAUUUUUGGAAUAAAUAUUUUGGGGGUUAUGUAAUUUAUACCUUGUGGAAAAUAUAGAAUGAGGAUGGAUGAAAUAACUUUGAAUUUGUUACUUAUUUUGGGCACGUUUGAUUUGGUUGAAGGAUAAUUAACCGCUGCUCGCACGUAGGAAUGCCGUUGUAACUCAAGAGUAUUUUGUCUUCUUUUGUCCAAAAAUCCAUGUGUUGCCUUGUGAUUAUUUUUGGCUCCAUAGUGAUUACUUAAAUGACUUGCACUAAUUAGCCUUAGGGCUAGUUUGGUAUUCCUGUGCUUUGAAAAAAAAACUGCUUCUGCUGUGAAAUAAAGCGGUAGAGUGUUUGGUAAACUUUUUUGUAAAAGUGCUUUUAGCAAAAAAAUCAGUGUUAAAGUGCUUGGUAAAUUUUUAUAUAAAACUGCUAUGAUUAUGUUAAAUGACUAAAAAUGAUAUAAUGUUAAAUUUAAUAUAUAAUUUUUUAUUUUUUAAUCUCUAUAAUUGUCGAGUCAUCCAAACUCUUCCAUUUUCCAAAUCCCAUUUAUAAUUCUAGAGUCAUCCUUUUCGCCUAAUUUUUUUUUUCAUUUGACUUUCAGAUCCGAUAUGUUAGCGUUCCGUUGGUCAUCAGACAGGAUCACACUAAGCGUAGGCUGUUUCCGGAUCAGAUCUAGCCGAAGAGCUCUCCCCCUAUAACUUGAAUAUGGCAGUUUCCCACUAGCCGCUUAAAGGAGUACUCAAGGAUUACCCUAUUACCAAUCUCGAAUUGGCCUCCUACUGUCCUCGCUAAGAAAGAGUCUGCCCGCUUAAUUCAAUGAAGGAGUUGAUAUUUAUCUAUUAAAGUAAUUUAUCAAUUACGGAAUUCAAGGUCGGAUGAUAUCAGUUCUCUGUACCCAAGAAGUUCGGGGAAAGGAAAUAGAAGCAAUGCAGACUGAAUUUGACGAACUCCCCACCCAUACUAAAAAGCAAAUAAAGACCCAUGUUUAGCGUCCUCCACUCUAAGGACCACAUUAUUGAAUAUGAUAGUAGACAGAUGGCAUUAUCCUGUAUUGACAAAUGUCAUAAUCGUGUGAGAUCAUUGUUGAGAUGUUAGCUUAGUCAAUAAGCUACUAUGUUUACUAUAAAUAGGAGAUUGCACCACCAUGUAACUAAGUCUUUUGUAAUUCAUUACAAUCAAUAUACAAAGAUAUUUUCUCUCUAUCUCUCUUUUUCUCUAUUUCUUUCUUCCUUGUCGAUGGGUUUCUUGAUUUCUACUUCCGCAACUCUGUUAUCAUGGUAUCCAAAGCCAAGUUCUCAAUUCGAUCUUCAGAAUUAAUGCUGGAAUUCAAAGCGGGGGAUGGUCUUGUGAAGGGAGUUAGAAUUUUUUUUGAGGUGGUGGAGAUUUCUGUUCGUCGGUGCCGUGUCGGUGUACUUCAAUCUCAUCUUCAUGCUGAUUUCUUUGAAGAUUUGAUGGUAUCUGUUCUUAUUCCUCUAUAAUUCAUACUUUGUUGAUUUCAAUUCAAGGCACGAAGCCAUUCUUGAGCACGAAGCUGAUUGUCUUUUCCGGUGAAAUUGAUCAUGCAAAAUUGGUGUUCUCUUGAGUGUAUAUUGGACAAUUGUUGAUUGUAUAAGCAAGAAAUGUUAGGGCACAAUGCCAUACUCUUGAAAAUUGUUUCCAAUUGUUGAUAUUUGUUGAGUUCUGAGAUAAUUGAAAAGUUAGGGCACGAAGCCAGAUUGUUGAGAAAACUUUGGGGCACGAAGCCAGGUUCAUUUUGUAAAUCUUGAAGGUUAUUGUUGAAUUGGUGUGUAUUGAUUCUGUGGUUCAUGAUGGCGUCUUCGUUUAAGAUUGAUGGUUUGUUAGGCAUGUUUACCAUUCGUUUGCAAGAAGACAAUUUUGCCAAAUGGUCAUUUCAAUUCUGUUUUGUGCUUGAAGGGUAUGAUCUGUUCGAUCAUUUUGAUGGUACUAAUGUUUGUCCGCCUAAGUAUCUGAUUUCUUUGGAUGGUGGUGUUACUAAAGAACUCACACAAGCUUAUAAGGAAUGGAUUAAAACUGAUAAAGCUUUGUUGAGUUUACUCAUCGCCAUACUUGGUGACGAGGCUAUUGAAUAUGUUGUUGGUAGUAAGACUACAUUUGAAGCCUGGACUAAUCUUACUGAUAGAUAUGCUACAGUUUCUAGGGCUCGCAUUAAUCAUCUCAAGACUGAAUUCUAUACAAUCAAGAAAGGGUCCGAUUAUAUUGAGAAAUAUUUGCUUCGGCUGAAGAAUUUGAAAGAUCAAUUGCUUUCUGCAGGGGAAGUGAUUUCUGAUAAUGAUUUGAUAGUGGUUGCUCUAGCUGGUUUACCUUCUGAGUAUAAUAUCAUUCGUACUGUAAUUGUUGCCAGAGAAACACCACUUACUCUUAAAGAAUUUCGAGCACAGUUGCUCAGUGCUGAGAGGACUGCUGAAGAUUUACCAAGUUCUCUUCAUUAUCCAAUAGCUGGAAUGUACUGUCAAGGAGAGUCUUCGAAUUCUGGUGGCUAUAAUGGUUUUCAUGAUCACAAUACAAGUAAUGGGAGGCAGUUUUAUCAUGGAGAGUCUUCGAACUCAGGUGGUCAAGUUAGUUCUCAUUCUACUGAAAACUAUGGUUUUGUGGGGCAAUACAACAUCUCUAAUCCAAGGGGUCAUUCGAGUGGGAGCUUCUCUCAAGCACAUAUUCCUCAGCAAUAUAAGUCUCAUAGACCUAAUAGUAAUAAUGGUGGUUCCAAUGGUUCUCGGUAUAAUUCCAGAUCAAGAUUCAAUGGGGGUUUUAAUACCAGACACAAUGGAAAUAAUGGUUUUUCUAGUAGCAGUGGUUCAAACAGUAAAUGGGGCUCUUCAUGGAACAAUUGGAAUGGCAAUACUGGACAGAAAUCUCAUGUGAUACCCGAAUGUCAAAUUUGCAGUAAGAGAGGGCACACUGCUCCCAACUGUUAUUAUAGAAAUGAACAGCAGCCUAUGGUUAAUCAAGGUAUUCCUGAGUGUCAAAUUUGUGGCAAGAGAGGUCAUGUUGCUCUUAAUUGUUUCCAUCGAAGCAACUAUGCAUAUCAAUGAGCAAAUCCACCUGCAACAUUGACUGCUAUGACUGCUCAAUCUUCCUCUGAUUUUAAUGCAAACCAAGCCUGGAUUAUGGAUACUGGUGCUACCCACCACAUGACUGAGGACCUUCAUGAUCUGAAUGUUGUCACACCAUUUGAAGGAGAUCAACAAAUCACAGUUGGAAGUGGAGAAUGUCUUCCAGUGAAACAUACUGGUUCCAAUUCUCUUCACACUUCUUCUAAAACUUUGAAUCUUCUUACUGUGUUACAUGUUCCUAAUCUUGCAGCUAGUUUAUUAUCCAUUUAUACCUUGUGUAAGGAUAACAAAUGCUAUGUAAUCAUGGAUGAAUUUGGUUUUUGGGUGCAGGACAAGGCAAUAAGGGCAAUUCUAAUGAGAGGAAUGAGUAGUGGCGGUCUGUAUUACAUACCAAAGAGUUUGUUCUUCAAGCACAAUCAAUUGCGACAGUCUGAAUCUUUUCCAAAAGCUUAUCUUGGGAAAUUGGUGCAAGCUUCCUUAUGGCAUCAUAGACUAGGUCAUCCUAGUAAUGCAGUGUUACAUAGUAUGCUUUCUCAUUCUCAGAUUGUGUAUAGGUCUGAUAAAAAUCAACAUGUAUACAGUGAUUGUUUGAGUGGCAAGAUGUCUAGACAAAGUUUUUCUUCUAGUUCUCAUAUCUCUGUAAGACUUUUUGAAAGGGUUUGUAGUGAUGUAUGGGGACCAUCUCCGGUUGUAUCAAUUGAAGGCUAUAAAUACUAUGUGAUUUUUGUUGAUGACUUUACUAAGUUUACUUGGUUCUUUCCUUUGACUUAUAAAUCUCAAGUUGCAUCAGUCUUUGAGCAGUUUUAUGCCUUUAUUCAGAACCAUUUUAAAACCUCAGUACAAUACUUUCAAUCUGAUGGAGGAAGUGAAUACAUGAGUUCAAAUUUUCAGAAGUUUUUGAAAGCUAGAGGUAUUAUACAUUUAGUUUCUUAUCCUUAUACCCCUCAACAAAAUAGGAUGGCUGAGAGGAAACAUAGGCACAUAAUUGAGACUGCAAUCACACUGUUGAAUUCAGCUAAGUUACCUCAUAAUUUCUGGACACAUGCAUGUAUUCAUGCUAUCUUUCUCAUAAAUCGAAUGUCAUGUUCUUCUCUGGACAUGAAUUCUCCUUAUUUUAAACUCUUUGGAAGUCAUCCUGUGUUACAUUCUGUUAAAGUGUUUGGGACUGCAGUUUAUCCUUAUCUUAGACCCUAUGUAAAGAAUAAAUUGGAACCAAGAACUGAACAGUGUGUUUUUCUGGGAUAUAUGUUGGGUUACAAAGGUGUGGUCUGCUAUCACAGGUCCAGAAAGAGGUUGUUUAUCUCUAGGCAUGUUUUUUCCUUUUCACAAACCAUGCAUAGUUCAAAGCAGACAUGAUGUUUCAUCUUCUUCUACGAUCCAUCCUAUCAUUGUUCCUUCUGUAUUUUCUGUUCAAUUUGCAAAUUCAGCUAGUAUGGUAGAAUUGGGUGAUCAUCACGAUUUUGGUCUACUUAGAUCUUCUGCAGUACAUACUUCUCAUUGUGCACAUAACAAUGGCUCCUCUUCCAGAGUAACAUCUGCUAGUUCAUUUUCUUUACAGGCUUCAUCAAAUUCCACUACUCCACUCUCUUCAUCAGCAUCUUCACAUGCCCUGUUGCCUGUCCCAAGUUUGCCUCACCCUGAGGUACAUUCCCAUCCUGUUACUUAUGCUAAUGUACCAGUUAAUGAUGACAAUAUUGUUGCUUCUCCUCUAUCCUUGUCAACUCAUCCAAUGCAAACAAGAUUGAAGACGGGAACCAUUUCUCGAAAAGAUUACACUGCAUGUUCAGCUAGUACAUCUCUUGAAUCUUCUGACAAUUCAUUUGGUUCGAGUGUUUUUCCUUGUCUUGGUUUCACUGAUGUCUUUGAUAUUAAGGAACCUACAGAACCAUCAUCAUAUAAACAGGCUGUUACUUGUGAACAAUGGAGAGAAGCUAUGAAAGAGGAAUUCAAUGCUCUUCAUAAACAAGGAACAUGGGAACUUGUUCCAAUGCCUACUAACAAGAAUGUCAUUGGCAGUAAAUGGGUAUAUAAGAUCAAACGAGAUCAGAAUGGCAAGAUAUCAAGGUAUAAGGCGAGAUUAGUAGCUCAAGGUUUCAGUCAAGAACAUAGUUUGGAUUAUGAAGAAACUUUUAGUCUAGUGGUCAGACACAGUACUGUUCGGAUUGUUCUUGCUUUAGCUGCUACAAAUAAAUGGCCUUUAAGGCAAUUUGAUGUUAAAAAUGCAUUUCUCCAUGAAGAUUUGCAGGAAGAGGUUUUCAUGAAGCAUCCUCAAGGUUUUACAGAUUCAUCUCAUCCUGAUUAUGUCUGUAAAUUGAUUAAGUCCCUUUAUGGCCUUAAACAGGCACCUCGGGCAUGGAAUUCUAAAUUUACAACAUACUUGCCUUUUCUUGGUUUUGUGGUUUCCGAAUCAGAUACAAGUUUAUUUGUCAAGACCCAAGGUGAUGCAGUUGUUAUUCUUCUUCUCUAUGUUGAUGAUAUAAUCAUCAUUGGAUCUGAUUCAGUAUUGGUUCAACAAGUUAUUUCCAAUCUUAGAGAGGUAUUUGAUAUGAAGGAUAUGGGGGCUCUCACAUUUUUUCUUGGAUUACAUAUUACUUACCAAGUGAAUGGCGAUUUGUUUCUUUCUCAAUCGAAAUAUGCCAAAGACUUGAUAAAAAAGGCGGGUAUGACUACUUGUAAGCUUUCUCCUACUCCUUGUAAACCUCAUACACAACUAUUGCGAAAUGAAGGAACUCCACUCAUUGAUCCUACUAUUUUUCGAAGUUUAGUGGGUGCACUGCAGUAUCUGACUUUUACCAGGCCUGAUAUUGCGUUUGCUGUCAAUUAUGCAUGUCAAUUCAUGUCCAAUCCUACUGAUGUACAUUUUGAGUUAGUCAAACGCAUUCUGAGGUAUUUACAAGGGACUGUUGAGUGUGGUGUUACUUAUUCAUCUGCUGAUACUAUGGAUCUCACUGCAUUUAGUGAUGCUGAUUGGGCAUCGGAUAUCAAUACCAGAAGGCCCACAACAGGAUAUAUGGUGUUCUUGGGACAAAAUCCAGUGUCUUGGCAGUCUAGAAAACAAGGUAGUGUUUCAAGAAGUUCGACAGAGGCCGAAUAUAAAGCUCUAGCCAAUGCUACUGCAGAAAUAGCUUGGAUUCGAUUGAUUCUUAAAGAUUUGAAAGUGUUUCUGCCUUCUCCCCCACUUUUGCAUUGUGAUAAUGUUUCCACUAUUGCUCUGUGCUCUAAUCCUGUUUUUCAUACCAAAAUUAAACAUCUCGAUACGGACUUUCAUUUUGUUCUUGAACGGGUUCAAAAAGGAGAUUUACAAGUGGAGUACAUUUCUUCUACAGAUCAGGUUGCUGAUAUUCUUACAAAAUGACUUCAUGGACCUGUUUUCUUACAUCAUUGUCUUAAUCUCAAACUGGGUUCCCCAGUUGCGAUUGAGGAUGGGGUAUUGAAUAUGAUAAUAGACAUAUGGCAUUAUCCUGUAUUGACAAAUGUCAUAAUCGUGUGAGAUCAUUGUUGAGAUGUUAGCUUAGUCAAUAAGCUACUAUGUUUACUAUAAAUAGGAGAUUGCACCACCAUGUAACUAAGUCUUCUGUAUUCAUUACAAUCAAUAUACAAAAAUAUUUUCUCUCUAUCUCUCUUUUUCUCUAUUUCUUUCUUCUUCCUUGUCGAUGGGUUUCUUGAUUUCUACUUCCGCAACUCUGUUAUCACACAUUAUCCAGAAGUUCAUUCUCAUUUACCUCAAGAUCAUCGACAAGAUCGAUCUUCCAAUUUCUGAGACUGAGAUUUCUACCUUUUUUCCCCCUAGUUAUAUAACUUCCACUACCACUAGUUUCCCAAUUUCAUCUCCCCUACCAUCCAUGGCGUCUGCAAGCUCUCACAAACACCCAUCUCCUCUGUCAUCCACUACUUUCCCCAUCACUUUCCCACCUUCCUCUUGGAGUUGUAGAAGGAGCUUGCUAUGAAGAUCUGUUGUGUGAAAUUGUGCAUCUUGGAUUGAAAACUUUUUUAACACUGGGUUUUGGAUUUGUUUCCUGGUCUGCAAUGCGACGACGAGUUGAAAAAUACUCUGAUCAGAUUUCGAUUUCGAAAAUUAAAAUCUGGUAAAACAAGAAUAUCAACGAUGAAGAUUCGAUCUCAACCCAAUGAGAAGGAGAAACGGAGGAGCGUAUUUUUGAGAUUGUGAAAGUUUCAUUAAAAUCUACUGUUCACCCGCCUUCUUGAAAAAAUAAAAGCUGGUUUUGAGAAGCAGCAAAAAUGCAACUUCUGAUUUUUGCCACUUUUCAGCUUAUAAUGACCUGUGAUUUUUAAAAUAAGCAGAGUUACCAAACACAAAUUGUACUCCAAUUUUUUUUCAUCCCAGCUUUUAAAAUAAUUUAAGCAGUACCAAACCUUACCUUAUUCUAAUUGCAACAAAGAAAGCUGAAACUGGAAUAAUUCGUGAUUUGUUCAAACCAAGAAUACGAAAUCAACAACCUACUAGAAAAUAUGCUCGUAGAGAUUUACGGGUUGUUUCAGCAAGUAAUUUUGCUAAAAGCGCUUUUAUUAAAACAACGUUGAUAAAUCACUUUUAUAAUGAUAUAAGCAUGCCAAAAGAUUAAACUAGUUUACAACAUCAAUAUUAUAAUGAUAGUACUCUCAGUUCAUUCUUGCUCAUAGAAUUAAAGAGAGAAACCGAACUAAACAACAAUGCGGACUAGCUUGGUCAACUCUCAGGCCUUUAUUCUUGAAGAUAGCAAAAUUACUCAAAGUUCCAUAUCAUAUGUAUGCAUAAAUCUUGUGCUUGGCACUUAUUCCUUGAGAAGAUGUGCAUCAAUAUCUUUAAUGACAUUGACCAUAAAGCUGAGGUACUUCUGUGGAGGCGGAUCGUUCUCGUUGAGUUUUUCAUAUUCUAAAGUAAUUUUCACAAAACCUCCUUCACUCUUUGGAGUGACCUGGAAAAUGAUCUUGUAGCUUUUGUAAUUGUCCAGCACAUGUGAUCCUUCCAGAGCUGUAAGACUCACCCACUUGUUUACUUCAUCUAUUUCCACCUUUUCCUUGAAUGUCUCGACAUUUCCAUCUACACGUCACAUGGAAAAUUACAAUGAUACAUCUAUUCAUGGAGAGAUUUUUCAAUGCUCAGAACACUAGGUGGUACGACACAUUAUUAUACAAACGAAUGAAAAUUAUUUUCAAGUGUCUUUUCACUUAUAUAAUGAAAUAUAAUUUAUGUAUCCAUGUUCCGAGCACACUAAAAAUUCUCUCAUGUCCAUGAUCCGAUUCUUUAUAUAUUCAUCGUCAGGUAAUGCAAACCUAAUGGCGCAUGGAUGGCCUGGUCAAUAUAUUUCAGUUUUAAUUCUAGAAGAAUCUUAUACGUACAUAUACAUAUCACGUUAGCAUGUUUAUUUCAUAGCAGGUUAGUUUGUGUUAUUAAAAAAAAAAAAAAAUAAUAAUAAUAGUAAUAAUGUUACAGUAUUAACUAUAAACGUAACAUUAUUAUUAUACAACUUUUUUUAACAAACAAUAUUAUCUACAUUAAGGGAAAGAGGUGAGCUUAGCCUCACAAUGUUUGAACGAUGGAAAUAAAUUUGGACUUUUGACAAAAUUUAGAAUUUAUAAAUUAACAUGCACCAAUUCUCUUGUCUAGAUUCAUAAACAUAGAAAUUUAGAAUUUCCGCGUGAAAAAAGGGAGAAUUUGAGACCUCCAAUUCCCAAGUUUAAAUUUCAUGUAAAUAAGUCACUCAGUAUUACAGUCUUAUAGUAUUUCUCUUCACUUGAAAGUGAGAGGUUAUAGGUUCGAAUCUUGUUAAUGACGAAUUUGAUACCAAAUUAGGCUACCCAUUGUGUGGCUUUGCCGAACUCCCCCUCCCCUUAGUGUAAAAAUAUCGAUGUACUAAAAAAAAUCAUGUAAAUAGGUGUUAUUCCAAAUUUUUAUGAGUGAGAGUUUAAAGAUAACAAAUUCUAUAUUGAAUUUAUAUUAUUCUUUUAAGUUAGUCAAACAAGAAAAUUUACAAAUUCUAGAAAUAAAAUUUCAUAGUAAUUUUAAAUUUUCUCAUUCAAACAUAAUGUUAGAGUCAUGAUGUAACACCCGUCGCUUUUUAUUUAACAAAAUUAAUUAUUAGUUUAACUAGGUUAGGAGGAGAGAGGAGGGUGAUUAAUUUCAUAUUACCUAGGGUGUAUUUCCAGAGCUUGACAGAGCCAGAAGUUUCCCAGUCACCUUCAUGUACUGCAACAUCGUGUAUUUUAUCAGAGGCUGCUUUGGGGACGUCGUGGUGCUGGUUGCUGAUGACUUUGUACAACUUAUCAGCGUUGGCUUUGAUCUCUACCUCAACCUCCACAGUCAGCUUGCAAGCACCAGCUCUGUUGAAUAUAUCAGUCCACCUCAUCAUUCCAGCUCAGCAAUAGUUAGUUAGGCUGUUAUCAAAUUAGUUAGUUAAAUAGCUUAGGCUGUAAACUAGUCAUGAUGGCUAUAUAAACUGUAUUCUCAUAGUUGUAAAGAUUAAUUCAGUAUCAAUGUAACCAAUUACUGUCUCUCUCUCUUAUUCCCUUUUCUCUCUUCUUCUUCGGUACAUGCUCUUUCUGCAACUCUUCAUUUCUGUUAACAUGGUAUCAUCGCCAUGGAUGAUCUUUUGACUUCCGUUGUAGUACCUCUGAUGGGUAGCUGAUCUCUGUGUAAGGUUGAUGACGUUUUGCUGUUCUUGGGAGGCUUCGAUACUUGUCUAUGGAGUUUUCGUUGGUGAUGAAGAUCUGUGCGCUCCAGGUGUUUGAUAAUUUGUGUCAGCCAAUUGUCGGAGUUUGCGAGGAUUCUGGUAUAGGUGUGUCAUCGCCGGAGGUCGGUUCUUGGUGAUUUGUUGCUCUUCCGCUGUGGGUGAACAAGCUUGGAUGUUCGAGUGCGUUUUCUGGGUUUCAAGAUUCAAGUUCUCAGGUUUUGUUUCUGAUUACUAGUUUUCUUUCCAGCAUAUCAACUAUUGUGACUCAGUGAGAAUUUUGUUGGGAAUUUCGGAAGUGUCAAGGCCAAUAGCCGUAUACUUCAGAUUUGUGAAGAGUUCAAGGUCGAAUGUCAUAUUUGAGAAUCUUUAAGGCAAAUUGCCAUUUCUCAGUUGCUAUAAAAUUGUUGAUUGUAUUUCCCUAAGGCCGAUUGCCGGGAUUUUAUGUUGUCUAAAAGAUUGUCUGUUAAUUGGGUUCUCUGUGAUUGUAUGCUGUACUCCCUUAAGGCCGAUUGCCGGAGUAUAAAGCUGUCUGAAAGUUGUUUUCUUGAUGCAAAGUGUUUGUUGGGAUAGAGAGGCCGAUAGCCAUUUCCCUUUUAUGUUUCACUUCAGAAAGGCCGAUAGCCAGAAGUGUGUGUAGAACAUUAACUGAUUUAGAAGAAUAUGAAGGCCGAUUGCCAUUUCUUCUAAGAGAAAGAUUGUUUAGUAGGAUUUGAAGGUCGAUUGCCAUUGUUGAAAGAUUGCUGAAAGAUUGAAUCUUUGAUUCAUUAUUGGGUAUUGUUUGAUUGUUUGUUGGGUAUUGUACACUCAAGAAGGCCGAUUGCCAAGAGUGUCUUAGUUCAAGAUUCUGCAAAGUUGUUCAUAUUCUAUCUGCAAAAGUGAUGUGUGAUGAUAAUGGGAUGAGCAACCUGUUUUAGUUUUGGCAAGUUUGAAAGGAUGAUAACUAUAUGUGGUUGUACCUUAUCGCAAAAGAAAAUAGUAGCUACAGAGGUGUAGAAAUCAGUUUGAGGGGCUGAAAUUCUUUGGGCAGUUGAUGGAUGAGUAUGAAAUUGCAUCGUUCUUAAGUAAUUUUCAAUGCUUGCAGCCAUGGAGGAUUAAUUGGUGAGGAGCAGCAGAGCUAGGAGUAUAUGGACAAGAAGGACUUCCUAAGUUCUACAUUUCUCAAAGCACUCAUUCAAUCUCCAACUAGGAAACUCAGUUGAGAUUGAGGGGGGAUGUUGAAUAUAUCAGUCCACCUCAUCAUUCCAGCUCAGCAAUAGUUAGUUAGGCUGUUAUCAAAUUAGUUAGUUAAAUAGCUUAGGCUGUAAACUAGUCAUGAUGGCUAUAUAAACUGUAUUCUCAUAGUUGUAAAGAUUAAUUCAGUAUCAAUGUAACCAAUUACUGUCUCUCUCUCUUAUUCCCUUUUCUCUCUUCUUCUUCGGUACAUGCUCUUUCUGCAACUCUUCAUUUCUGUUAACAAGCUCCACUCACUGCCAUUUUCUUUUAUUUGUUAUUAGUAAUAUGUGAUUAGUCUGGGGAAAUUGUAGGAGACGUAUACUAACCUACAGGUUUCAACUUCUUAUAUAGAGUCGCAAAGUUGUAAAUUAACAUGUUAUAAACUGAUAGUUAUGGAGGCAGCGUGUGGAUAUGAUCCGAUCACUUAAUUAAAUAGUUAUAUAAUAAUAUUGUGUCUGUGGAUCUUCCACGCAGAGUUUUAUUAUUACACCUACCAAACUUAAGAGCACCCGCAAACUUGAUGAGACAUAUAUCAACACGUGAGAACAAUGAUUGAUCAACAUUACCUCCAUAGUAUUAUUAGAGUGAAUGAUUGUAUGAUAUUAAUUAAGCAUUAAGAUCUUGGGAACUUUAAUGAAAAAUUUCUGGUAUUAUUCAUUUUAAUAAAAAAUUAUAUUUUUACAUUAAAAAGUCAAUCUUAAUACUAUUCACUUUAUUCUUUAUUUUGUCCUUAUUGUUAAAACUCAAAAUUUUCAAGCCAUUUUCAUUAAUUUUCUUUAAGAUCUUUUGAUUUGGCAUGCGGAAGUGUGUGUUUGUAUAUUAUAUAGGGAUAAUACUAAGUUAGGUUCAUAUUAUCUUAACUAGUGAUAAAUUAAGGGUUCUUUCGAGUUAUUCGAAACAGUGGUUUAUAUUAUCUUGACAUACGUGCAACCAAACACAAAAAAGAGAGGCUGUAUUGGCUUCCAAAAUAAAACUAGAUGCAAACAAUAAUGUGGAGUUCCGGUUACUCUUUUGGAAUCAACCAAAGCUGAAUCAUUGAUGCCUACUUUCAGAAAGUUUUCCUUUUCUGCAUGCAGAUCUUUUCAAUGGAUGUAGCUCGUUUUGGGAGGUAACCACUUACUUCUUCGAGUUCAUUAAUUUUAGUCAAUCUAAAGUAAUUUAAUUAAGUUUAUUAACCUUACAAUUUUGAGCGUUAAUACUCAAUUUUGGAGGAAUUGCAUCACGUUUACGUAAAGGCAAUCGAAAUAAUAGAGUGGAAUUAAAUUUCAAUUACGGAAUACUCCAGUAUUUACUAAAUAUUGGAGAAUAAAAAAUUUGAUAGCACCCACUCAAUUUUUUUAAUCCAAUACUAAUUCAUACUCAAAUUUUGGAAUAAAAAAUCUAAUACUAAUUCGUACUCAUCAAAUGAAAGUAAAAUCUAAUUCUUCAUUUUUUAAGUACUUAAUUAUUGUAAUGUGAGUAAACGCAUGAAAAUCAUGAUUUAGAAUAUUUUCUAAUGCAGACUCUAAGUCUGAAAUUGAAAUAUAAAGAUAGCCCUUGAAGGGUCGAUUCUGGUUAAUCUAGGCAUGAGAAUACGAAAAAAUACACACAAAGUUAUUAAGAUAGCUUUCCUUUUUUAUAUUUUAGCGAUAGUCUAGUCUAAUCCAACAUUAGACCACAUUCAGUAAUUCAAACUAAGAGAAGGGGGAUUCAAACUUGGCUACACUCGGAUUCUCAUAUUAGGAUUGAUUCUGAAGUAAAAGAAUAUAACCAAGUUGAUCAAGAAAUUUCAAAAUUUCUAAUGGAAACUUAUUAGAAUUUUUUUGUGAAUGUGUUGAAGUUGGGAUUUUUUUGUUUUCGUAUUGAAGUUGGGAUUGAAACAGAAGAUAAAGCAUAAUAUAAAGUUUCAUUACAAUUAACAACAUGUUCUAUUAAAUGAAAGUGACUAAAUAUUGAAAAACAUGCUACGCCGCGUUGAUCAACUCCGGCAACGAGCAUUAGCACUGCAUCCACGGUUGUAGGGGUUGCUCUGAUUCUGAGCACCCGGCUUGCAGUUGUUGGAGGAAGCACCUCUCUGAGAGCAAGGAACAGUGUUUCUCUGCAGCGCUUCAUAGCUUAUGUUUCGUGAGGUGGCCAAGAUGCGCCUGCUAAUCUCCGAGUCCAUGCCAAACUCAUCAUCACGAUCAUCCAUGCACUCUGCUACAGAACCCUCGCAGCGAGGUCUCACUGGAGCCCAGCUCACCCCAUGAUCGCCGCCUGCAUCAACGGAGAUGACCAGAGCGGCCGCGAAAAUCAACGAAAAGAUAAUCGCAGAGGAAUUAGCCAUAGGUUUUGGUACGGUCUGUGUUUUUAGCUGCCAACUUGUAUUUUGUUGUACGCCUGUUUAAUUACAGAGGUAGAGAGAGGGGGCGGCAAGAAAGAGAAGAGAUAAUCGGUGAAAUUUUGAUGUGUAUAUUCUUUCACCCUAUUGUGCUAAUUAUAGUAGUAAAAAGGGAAAAUUUUUGUCUUUCAAGUAAUUCAUAGGAGUUAGGGAAAAUCCUUGUCUCUCAAGUAAUCCAUCUAAAAUAGGACAUUAUGUAAAAGAUAUUAUACAAUUCCAUAAGGAUUUACACAAUCAUAUUCCUAAUUAAAUUAAGACUGUGACAUAUUUAAAUUUGGUUAAAUAAAAAUUGGAUGUUGAUUUCUUUAAGGAGGUAAUUACUUAAUUGACAUGCUUUAAUUCAACCUUAUUCCAAUUGCAACAAAGACAGCUGAAAUUGAAAUAAUUCGUGAUUUAUUCAAAACCUAACAAGAAAACAAAAUCAACAACUACUACAAAAUAUGCUCGUAGAGAUUUCCGGGAUGUUUCUGCUCUUAAGUGUUUUUGCUAAAAGCUCUUUUAUCAGUACAAGGUUGAGACUUUAGUUAAAAAACUAAGUUGUUCUCGAAAAAAUAUAAGCAUGCCAAUAGAUUGAACUUGUUUACAACAUCAGCAUUAUAAUAAUAUCACACUCAAUUCAUUCUUGCUCAUAGAAUUAAAGACAAACCAAAUCAGAAACCGAAAUAAGCAACAGUGCUAACUAGCUUGCUCAGCUCUCAGGUCUUUAUUCUUGAAGAUAGUAAUAUUACUCAAUGUUCCAUAUCGUAUGUAUGCAUAAAUCUUGUGCUUGGCGCUUAUUCCUUGAUAAGAUGUGCAUCAACAUCUUUAAUGACAUUGACCAGAAAGCUGAGGUACUUCUGUGGAGGCGGAUCGUUCUCGUUGAGUUUUUUAUAUUCUAAAGUAAUUUUCACAGAACCUCCUUCACUAUUUGGAGUGACCUGGAAAAUGAUCUUGUAGCUUUUGUAAUUGUCCAGCACAUGUGAUCCUUCCAACCCUGUAAGACUCACCCGCUUGUUUGCUUCAUCUAUUUCCACCUUUUCCUUGUAAGUCUCGACAUUUCCAUCUACACGUCACAUGGAAGAGUAUAAUUAUACAGCUAUCCAUGGUCCGAUCCUUUAAAUAUUCAUCGUGUGGUAAUGUAAACCCUAUGCAUGGAGGUCUUGUCAUUUUUAAUUCUAAAAGUACAUAUAUAUGAGGUAACGCAAACCCCUAGCUUGCUAGGUUUCAAGUUAGCAUGCCUAAUUAUUUUGCAGCAGGUUAGUCUGUGGUAUUAAAAAAAAAAUGUUAGUCAUAAGUAUAACCUUAACAAUGUUUGGUUGUAAUUUGCUUGCUCCUUCAUGCAAUCUCACAGUCUCACUACCACCUCCACAAGUUUGCGGAGUAAGCAUCUUCAUUCGCCCCAAAAGGGCUUCGUUUCACUAUCUUUUACACAGCGGAGGCUGUAUAAAGCUACGACAGAACAAAAUUCGGCACCCGGGAGAGGGACGAUCUCCAGAGAUUCUUUAACAUUUUUUGUAUUUCUUUUUUUGUUGAAUCAUUUCUUGUAAUUUAAACAUUUAGCGUCAUCUUGUAAUUUAAAUAUUACCUAUGGUGUAUUUCCAGAGUUUGACAGAGCCAGAAGUUUCCCAGUCACCUUCAUGUACCGCAACAUCGUGUAUUUUAUCAGAGGCUGCUUUGGGGAAGUCAUAGUGCUGGUUGCUGAUGAAUUUGUACAGCUUAUCAGCGUUGGCUUUGAUCUCUACCUCAGCCUCCAUAGUCUCCAGCUUGCAAGUACCAGCUCCACUCACAGCCAUUUUAUUUUAUUUGUUCUUUAUAAUAUGUGAAUAACGAUAGUGUAAGUCUGGGGAAUUGUAGGAGACGUAUACAAACCUAUAGGUUUCCACUUCUUAUAUAUAAAGCCAUGUUAUAGUUACGGAGGCAGUAUGUGGAUAUUAUCCGAUCACUUAAACAGUUAAAUGAUAACAAUGUGAGAGUGGAUCUUCCACGUAAAAUUUUAUCACCACUACACACCUACCAGAAUAAAACUUUUUUCUUUUUUUUUUUAAUUAAAAGAAGAAAUGUCAAUUUCAUUCCGCAUUAUUAUCAUGGAACAAGACAUUAUUUUGAAUACAUUGAAGAAGAAAAAAAAAUAUAUAUAAUAAGUUAGAGGGGACAUGAAGCCUAGCCCUAACAAGAAGUAGAAAACUAUUUGAAACAACAAUCAAUUAAGACAACUCCUAAGAGAAACAAGAAUUUGGAAACACCGAAAGAUUAUGAGCAAAAGUCAUAACUGCACAUGACGGAUAAGAAUCACACAAAUAAUGAAAACUAACAUGAUCAACAUAAUAGUUUGCUAAACAAUUUGUUACAUGAUUUCCUUCCCGAUUAACGUGAGAAAACUGAACAUGCAUGGAAGAGAGAAUGGUAUAGUAAUUUGUCAAAUCAACCGAUAAACUAUGGUGCAUUGCCAAACAAGAAUUACACUCAUUUCAAAGAGAAUGCUGCUAACCCCUUUCGAAAGCAAUAUAAAUAACAUGAAUAAUAGCUUUAAGUUUCACUUCCAAAGCAGUAACAAUGCCAAAAAAAUCUUGUAUUAAAGCAUCAAAGAGACCCAAGUGAUCACGAAAAAUACCACAAAAACCAGCAAACUUGAUGAGACAUUUCAACACGUAUAUAUAUAAGAGGAUCAAUGAUUGAUCAACUUUACCUCCAUAGCAUUAUUGGAGUGAAUGAUUGUACGAUAUUGAGGCGUUUGUUUGGAUUUGGCACGAGGAAAUGUGUGUAUAUAUUGUAUAUAUAGUGAUAAAACUAAUUUAGGUUUAUAUUACCUUAACUAGUGAUAAAAUUAAGGGUUCUUUAGAGCUAAUAGAAAUCAAUGGUUUAUAUUAUGUUGACAUAACCUAGAGAGAGAAAAAAAAGAGGUUGUAUUGUCAUCAAAAUAAAAUUAUGACACAAACAAAUAAUGUGGAGUUCAUGUUACUUAUUUGGAAUCAAUCAAAGCUGAAUCAUUGAUGCCUAAUUUCAGAAAAGUUUUUCUUUUCUGGAUGCAGCAUCUUUUCACAGGAUUUUUUUUUCGGUUGUUGUAUUGUGAAGGAACUUCUUGGAUAGUUUUUUUUCCCUUUUACACUAGCUUAGUGUCUUCCUGCCAAAAUAAUGACACAGAAAUUUUCAUCAAAAGGGUUGGCGAUGUCGGGCAGCAAAUGUAGUUUCCCGUGAAAUUGCAAAACUUGCUCACAAUCUGAUGAUUUUGUCUCUUGGGUUGGCUCUCCCUUCUCCUAACUGCUGAAGACUGAUGAAGCAGAAAUUUAAUCAUCAAUGAAUUUCCUUGACUAAUCCAUUAUCUUUCCGUUGCCCGUUCUCUUUGAUUUGUUCAUAAUCCGAUUAUUGUUCAUUCCAAUUCCAAGCGCGUAAACGUGCCCUCAUAGUUAUGGACUUGUUCGCAUCGUUUAAUUUUCCUUGAAUACCUGACUUUGUCGCCUAUGGUUUCACAAGAAAAUAAUCUCUUUGUUAAACCAGAAAAUUUAACGGUUCAUUAAUUAGCAACUAUUUCAUUUUUUAACAAUAUUUGGCUACUCAAAGGAUGAGUAAGAGUUCCUACUCAAACCUAUUUGUUGCCGAUCCAUAGAACUUCAUGUUUAUAAUAGAGCAGUUCAUAUUAGAAAUCACUUUAUAAAAAUUGUCUCUACAAAAAAUCAAUUAGACUAAGGUCGUUUAGUAGUCGAACUGUGAAAAAACAAAGGAAAGAAAUUGGUGAAAACAUUACAAACCAUUUAUGUAUUUACUAGAAUAAAUUGACUAAAUGACCUUAAUUUUAAUUCAAUUUUUGCAGAAAUGAUCUCCACAGUGUGAUUCAUAAUAUGAACAGUUCUGUUCAUAAGCACAAACUUCAGUGAUUCGAACAUGAAAAAUUUUGAGUGGGAGUUCUUACUCAUCUUUGAGUAGCCAAGCAUUGUUCUUCAUUUUUUUUUAUGUCAGUAAUAGUCUGACAAAGAACAAUAAUAAGUAAACUGUGAAAAAAAAAAUAUUUUACAAAUGGAAAAACAAACAAAAUGAAAAAGAAAAUAAAUUAAUAUUUUAAGUUGUUUUCACUUUGAAAAUUUUGUUUUAUUCAUUCCCUCUUUAUCUAAUUCUUAGCCUUCAUGUAUUGAAUUAUGCAUUGUAUUGUAGAAUCCAAAAAAAAAAAAAAAAAAAAACUUUUUUGGAAUCCAUAUGUGUAUAAGCAUGAAAUUAUAGCCCACCCAUAUGAAAAUUUUGACUCCGCGGUUGCAUGUAAGGAUAAACAUGCCAAUAGAUUAAACUUAUUCACACUAUAACAUAAAAAUGCUAUUACACUCAAUUAUAGAAGUUGCUCAAAAGACUAAAGACAGUCCAAGUCGGAACUAAACAACAAGGCUAUAGCUUGCUCUUCUUCCAGCCUUUAUUCUUGAAGAUAUAAGAUUAUCUCCCCUCUUAAUCUCUCUUUCCAUUCCUCCUCUCCUAUUUAAAUGUUUACCGCGUCAACAUCUUGUUUUAAAUUUAUUAUAUAGAGAAAAAGACAAAAAGAAAAGUGUAAGAUGAGGAGGGAGAAUGAAAUGGUAUUGGAAGGUAGAGAAUCCUACUCCAAGUGUUCGUUAGGGGAGAGGGGGACCCUGAGAGCAGAAGACUCUUCAUCUUCAGGUUUGAGAGUAAACGCUUUACUGUUGAAGAUAUAUAGUGAUUGACACAUCAUCAUAAGUGCUACAUCAGCUAUUGGAGUUAGUUAGUUUUUUAAGAAUCAGUUACACAAGUGGCUUAGCUGAUAAGCUACAUGUGCAGACUAUAUAAAGGAAUCAGGGGUCUUUUGUAUCUCUCUUCAUCCUUAUGAAAUAACAAAACUUUUACUCAUUUCUUUCUCUAGUUCUCUCUCUAUUCCUUUUGAUCUUUCUCUCUCUAUUCCUUUGAUAUUGCUUGCAUACAUUCAUCUGUUAGUUGUUAGAUGAAUGUUAUCAUGGUAUCUUCGCCGAGGGUUCGAUCUCGUGGUGUGUAUUUCCGCUGUGUUGUGCCAAAAGAUUGUCUUGAUUGCUGUGCUGUGCUUUAGUGGGUUAAUGAGCUUUUGGCGUUUGGGAAGUCAGACUUCGAGUUUAUCAGGUGUUAUUUUUCUUUUUGCACUCCAAGUGUGUGUGUAAUUGUCGCAAUGAUGAAUCUUUUGUGAAAGACUAAAAGUUGAAGGCCGAUAGCCAUUUCUUGAUGUUUGGAAUAUGAUAUUGAAUGUCAAUAGCCAUUUCUUGAUGUUUGGAGUAUGAUAUUGAAGGCCGAUAGCCAUUUUUCUGAUUGAAUAAUUGUUGAAGCGUUUUCUGUCAAAGCAUAAAGGCCGAUAGCCAUUGCUUUUGUUUGAGUGUUUGUUGGGUUUUUUCACAAGAACAAGGCCGAUAGCCAGUAAUGUGUGUUCUUGGAGUUAUUAUACUUCUUGAAGAUUGUUUGAGUACUUGAUUUCUUGAUUCAGUUUCUAUCAACAAUAUGGCGUUUAGUUCUAUCAAAAUUGAAAGUCUUUUGGGCAUGAUCACUGUUAAGUUGAAAGAAGAUAAUUUUGUCAAAUGGGAUUAUCAGUUUCAAUAGGUGCUUAAGGGGUAUGAUUACUUUGAUUUCUUUAGUGGGGAGUCUCAGUGUCCUCCAAAGUUUGUAAUUAAUACUGAGACUGGGGUCACUAAAGAAAUUACUACUGCAUAUAAAGACUGGGUUAAAACAGAUGUCUCUCUAUUGAGUUUGUUGAUUGCUACACUUUCGGAUGAAGCUAUAGACUAUGUCAUUGGGUGUAAAACUUCUCAAGAAGCUUGGAAAUCUUUUCAGGAACGAUAUGCAUCUGUAUCUGUUGUCCGGGUUAAUCAACUCAAGACUGAGUUUCAUACUGUACAUAAAGGUGCAGAUUAUGUUGACAAGUAUUUGCUUCGAUUGAAGGUUAUCAAGGAUCAACUGGUUGCUGCAAGGGAGAGAAUCACUGAGAAUGAUUUGGUCAUUGCUGCUUUGUCUGGUUUACCUCCAGAGUUUGAAAUGAUCAGGACAGUAAUCUUAGCAAGAGACACUCUGAUUUCAAUGAAAGAUUUUCGAGCUCAACUAAUUGGGGCUGAAGGCAGUAUUGAGUCUCGACUGACAACUUUAUCAAGUUCUAUGGCUGCCAUGUAUGUUCAGGGCAAUGGCUCGAAUACACAGGGAUCUCAGGGAAAUACUCCAAGUUAUGAACAAUGGGAGAGUUCAAAUGCACAAAGGUCUCAAGGGAGGAAUAAUUACAAUAGUGGUAAUAACAACAGGAGGUAUAAUGGGAAUAAUUUCAACAAUCGAAAAUUCUCUGGUGGUUAUAAUGGUGGGAAUAAUAAUUACAGGCCAUAUUCUACUUUUGGGAAUAAUGGGAAAGGUGUUCAAAAUGGAGGUUCUCAAAGUUAUUUUUCUGGUAAUGGAAGCAAACAAGGAAACACUUGGAAUGGUGAUACAAAUUACAGAAAUGCUAUAUCUCCUGAAUGUCAAAUCUGCUAUAGAAGAGGUCAUACAGCACCAAAUUGUUACUUUGGAGCUGAUAACAAUCAAUCAUCUGGAGGGAUCUUGGUAUGUCAGAUAUGUGGGAAAAUAGGUCAUCGGGAUUUGGAAUGCUUUCAUAGAAAUAACUUCUCAUAUCAAGGCAGUGCACCACCCACAUCUCUUGUUAGGAUGGCUGCUCAAGGCUCAAAUGUUGCAACUGAAGACUCAAAUAUCCAUGGUUUUUCAGCUGCUGAUACAUAGGUAGUUGACACAAGUGCAACUCAACCACAUGACAUCACAUGUCGAAGUUUUAAAUCAUAUCACUCCUUAUAAUGGUGAUGCCACGAUCACUGUUGGUAAUGGAGAAGGUUUGGUGGUUAAAAAUAUUGGUUCUUCUGUUCUUAACACUCAACAAAAGUCACUCAUUUUGCAAAAUGUGCUACAUGUUCCACACAUUACAAUGAAUUUGUUGUCUGUUAAGAAAUUAUGCAGAGAUAAUAAUUGCUGGUUUGUAUGUGAUGAUCUGAUCUUCUUGAUACAGGACAAAGCAACUCGAAGGAUUGUGUACCAAGGCCAGAGUGAUGAUGGGGAGCUCUUCAAGAUACCAAUAACAGUGCUGUCGAGAUCCAGAGUACCAAGUAUUGAAAGAUGUGCUGCUUUUGUUAGAAAGAAGCUAAAGACUGCAGUUUGGCAUAAAAGGUUGGGUCAUCCAUUUGAAGAAGUGCUUACUGCAAUGUUGAAUAAGUCUAAAGUAUUAGCUAGUAUAGAUUUGUCUCCAUCUAUAUGUACUGCUUGUAUUCAAGGCAAAAUGACUAAGUUGCCUUUCUCUGUAAGUCCCGAUAGGUCAAAAGUUGUAUUUGAAAGGAUACAUUCAAAUAUAUGGGGUCAUUCACCGCAUAGGUCAAUAGAGGGUUAUAGGUAUUACAUAAGCUUUGUAGAUGACUGCUCUCAAUUUGUAUGGAUUUUUCAGAUGGUUAAUAAAUCCGAUGCUUUUCCAAUCUUUACCAAGUUUCUUACAUUUCUUGAGAAUCAGUUUAAUGCUUUUGUUAAAGUUCUUCAAUCAGAUGGUGGAGGUGAGUAUAUGAGUAAUGUGUUUAGACAGUUGUUGGAGAUAAAAGGAAUUAUACACCAAGUUUCAUGUCAUCAUACACCACAACAAAAUGGUCUUGCUGAACGAAAACAUAGACAUUUGGUUGAGAUUGCUAUUAGUUUGCUAUCAGAUGCUCAAUUACCUUCAGCAUUCUGGUAUCAUGCUUGUUUUCAUGCUGCAUUCUUAAUCAAUAGGAUGCCAUCUAGAACUUUGAAGAUGUAGUCUCCCUAUCAAGUUGUGUUUGGUUGUGUUCCUGAAGUGCAGCAUCUUAAAGUCUUUGGUACUGCAGUUUAUCCUCUAUUGAGACCAUUUAAUAAAAAUAAAUUGGAGCCAUGGUUAGCUCAAUGUGUAUUUCUUGGUUUUGCUCAUGGAUAUAAAGGAGUUAUUUGUAAUGAUAUCAAGACUAGAAAGUUCAUUCUGUCAAGGCAUGUAGUACAUGAUGAAGAUGUAUAUUCGUUUAAACAAGUUUUGCCAUCUAAGGAUUCUACACCUACAAAUAGGUGUUCUCAGACACUUGUUUUGAUUCAGUUACAAGUUCCAAGUGAAAAAGUCCUGCCUCAUACACACAUACAACAUGAUUCACAAGCAGCUAGUUCUAUACAUAUAUCAGCAAGUGAUACUGGUUCACAUCACAGUAUUCCUGUAAAUGGUGACAGUAUAAAUAUGGUUGGUGAAUUGAAUGUUUCUAGUUCGGACAAUACACAGGUGAUUCAACCUAGUGAUCAGGAUACAAAUUCGACUGAUACCACUACUCUACAUGCAUCUCCAAGCUCUUCCCAUCAUCACUCUGGUACACAAUCCUUGUUGCAUGUCCACUCCGAGUCACAACUUGAGGUAAUCCUUCCUGAUUUAUCUCCAUUUGAUCUCAUUUUACAUACUGCACCAUCGACUUACUCAAUGGUCACUAGAUUGAAGAGUGGAACAAUUGAGAGACAAAAUUAUGCUGCUUUAAUAGCACAAUGUCCUGAGCUUUGUUCUCUCCAAAUCACUAAUGAAGAACCUUUCACGGGUGGCUAUUCCUUUCUUUCUGAGAUCACUGAUGCUUCAGAACCGAAGACAUUUCGGAAAGCGGCUACUAAUCCACAGUGGCAAAAGGCAAUGCAGGAGGAAUAUGAUUCACUUCGAGCACAAGGAACUUGGCUAUUGGUUCCUGCACCUGAAGAUAGAACAAUUGUAGGAAGCAGAUGGGUGAAGUGAAGAAAAACCCCGAUGGCAGUGUCUCUGAUGUGAAAAUUACUUGACACACAAAUUAAACCCUAUUGAUGACAAUUGUAGCAAAGAUGUUAGUAGGGAUCGUUCUAAACCGGGAAUUAACUAGGGCUGCUAAUCUACUCAAAUUAAACUCUAAAACACUAAACUAGACUUAAAAACACAAGAAUAGACUCUAUAGACUCUAAACUGACCUAAGACACUCAAAUCUGCAAAACUAAGUGAAAUUGACUCAAUUCUAAACCUAACAAGUGAAUUGGACGAAAUUAAAACUUACUUUGACUCAAAAGAUUAAAAGAAAACAGAUUGUAACUUAACUAACUUAGAAAACACUUAAAAGACUCAAAACAGCACAAUACUAACAAUUAGACUCAAAACAGAUUCUAGAGAUGAAAUUGGACGAAUUUAAGACUAAACUAAGACCCAAACAAUGGUUAUGGACUAAACCUAACCUAUAUUGACUCAAAACACUCUAAAGAACCUAAUUAGGACAGAUUCUGACCUAAUAACAUAAAACAGAAAAGGGUGUUUGAUUUCUGACGAAAUUGAAUUAAAACUAAACAAAUUGCAAAUCAAAGUAAACUAAAACGAAAUUAAGAUGAAUUCAAGGGUGAAAAGCUAGUUAGAGGAUCCUUCUCCACACAUGAACAUAUGCAACAUAAAUCGAUUUCCAGUAUUGUUUCUUUAAACCAUGAACGACAAUGCCCCAAAUUAAUCGUGAAUGCACAAAUUAACUCUCAGAUUUCCCUAAAUUCAUUGAAUUGGAUGAAUGCAUGCAACAACCCAAAUUAUUCUUCUCAAGUUCCCUAUAUGAACAUCAUGAUAGAGAUACAUUCAAAGAUCAUUAAAUUCCAUGGAAAUCAUAAGCAUUGACAAGGCAAUUAUAACUAUGAACUGCAUGAUACUUUUGCCAAGAAUCUACUUAACACGAUUGUGACUAACAAUCUCCACUACUUGUAAUUAUAAGUUUCUAACGAUUAGGUGAAAGUCCCUUAUAAUUUAGCAUCAGAUUCAAGCAUGCAAACUAAGUAGGCCUCCUUAAUCAACACACAAGAAUAAGUUAUCAAUCAAAUAGAUAAGUAAAUCGCAUUCAUGUUUUACGAAACAAUAACUGAAAGGAAUCAAUUCAUAUUAACAUAUGUCCAUGGCUUCAAAUUCACCACUAACUAAUAAGAGUUUAGUUCCACAUGUUCAUAACAAUUGAAACGCAAAUUAAAAUAAACAUCGAAACUGAAACGAGGGAAGAAAAAACUAUGAAAACUCCCAAGGAUGCAGAUGGCUUGCGCACAAGGCCCUCCUUCAUCAAUGGAAUGCACGACAAGGUUCUCCUUCUUCUCCAAAAGGUGCGGCAGAGAUGUAUAUGGAUGUAGGAUGGUGUUUUGUGAUGUAGAAUGGUGAUUAGGGUUGCGGCAAGGUGUUUCUGAAUGGUGAAGGGUGGUGACAAAUUUAGGCCUUAAAAACACAUAUAUAUAGGCAUGGCAAAGCUAGGGUUUUCACAAAAUUUGAUGGGAAAAGGUUAGGGUUUUGGAGAUAAAAGGCUUGGCCCAUUCAAAGGAGAAAAGAAUUAGGGUUUUAUGCAGAUUCCUAGGCUUCUAGAACACUAGGUGCGGCACAACCCUAGGGUGGAUGGACUAGGGUUUAAAUUUAGCAGAAAAUAAAGGAUUAGGGCCCUAGGGUGCGGCAUGGGCUUAGAACAAAGCUGAAAAAGGAUUAGGAAACUUCAAAUUCAAGAGUAGAAACUUUCAAGAAUGGAAACCUCCAAGAAUAGCAACUUCCAACUUUAGAAACUUUGGUUUCCAAUUCUGAACUCUUUGCUCUUCAUGUUCAUUUCUUCAUUUCUUCCCUCCUUUGAUCUUCAAUUUCGUUCAUCCCUUUGGCUCCAAGCAUGUGAUAUCCAUUUUAUGCUCAAAACUGCUUCAAAAGGCUCCAAAUUGCACUUUCUCGCCAACUUUGUCAUUUGGACCUAAAAACACACGAAAAUAGCUUAAAACACUAUAAUAACCACAAACUAACUAUAAAAGUGCAAGAAAACAAGCUAACUAAGUUGCAUAAAUAUGCUCCUAUCAGUCUCCCAGUAUAAAGCAAGGCUUGUAGCUCAAGGGUUCUCCCAAGAACAUGGUAUUGACUACUUGGACACAUUUAGUCCUGUUGUUCGACAUACUACUGUAAGGAUUAUUCUUUCUUUAGCUGCCAUGAAUCAUUGGACUCUUCGACAAUUAGAUAUCAAGAAUGUUUUUCUACAUGGAGAUUUACAAGAAGAAGUUUAUAUGCAGCAACCACAAGGGUUUAUUGAUCCAUCAUAUCCUUCUCAUGUUUGCAAAUUGGUCAAGUCAUUAUAUGGCUUGAAACAGGCUCCACGCGCGUGGAAUUCAAAGUUUACAAGUUAUUUGACAGUUAUGGAGUUUCAUGCCUCAGCUUCUGAUACAAGUUUGUUUGUCAAGAAGGAUGACUCUGAUAUCAUCAUCUUAUAACUUUAUGUUGAUGAUAUCAUCUUAACUGGUUCUAAUCCUUUGAAGAUCCAAAAAGUGAUUCAAGAAUUAUCUGAGGUAUUCGAGUUGAAGGAUAUGGGACAGCUUACAUAUUUUUUGGGUUUACAAGUUCAAUAUAAAGCGGAUGGCAGUGUUUUUGUUAAUCAGUCUAAGUAUAUCAAAGAUCUUGUCCAUAAAGCAGAUAUGGAAUCGUGUAAACCAGCAACCACUCCGUGUAAACCUCAUCAUCAAAUGUUACACUCUGAGGGACAAUUGUUGACAUAUCCAACUUCCUAUAGAAGCAUUGUGGGAUCUUUACAAUAUCUGACCUUUACUAGGCCUGAUAUUGCCUUUGCUGUAAACACAGUAUGUCAGUUUAUGUCCUCACCAACUGAUGUUCAUUUUGGCGUUGUUAAACGCAUCAUUCGUUAUCUUCAAGGAACCAUGAAUAUUGGUAUUACUUUUUCUGCAAACACAGUUUCAAAGCUUACUGUGUUUUCUGAUUCUGAUUGGGCUGCAGACUUGAAUACUUGUCGGUCUAUCACUGGUUAUGUUGUGUACUUAGGCAAUAAUCCAAUUUCUUGGCAAUCGAAGAAACAAAACUCGGUAUCCAGGAGUUCUACUGAGGCUGAAUAUAAAGCCUUAGCACAUACUGCUGCAGACAUAGCUUGGAUUCGCAAUAUAUUGAAGGAUUUGGAUGUACUUUUGGAUGCUCCACCAACAAUUCACUGUGACAAUAUGUCCGCUAUUGCCUUAAGUGCCAAUCCGGUGUUUCAUUCAAGAAUCAAACACCUUGAUACAGACUACCAUUUUGUACGCGAACGAGUGCAGCAAGGCGAUCUGGAGGUGUUGUAUAUCCCAACUGAGGAGCAAACUACCGAUGUUCUUACCAAAGGUCUUCACAGUCCUUCACUUGUCAAACAUUUUUACAAUCUCAAGCUGGAAAAUCCCGGUUGAGAUUGCGGGGGGAUGUUGAAGAUAUAUAGUGAUUGACACAUCAUCAUAAGUGCCACAUCAGCUAUUGGAGUUAGUUAGUUUGUUAAGAAUCAGUUACACAGGUGGCUUAGCUGAUAAGCUACAUGUGCAGACUAUAUAAAGGAAUCAGGGGUCUUUUGUAUCUCUCUUCAUCCUUAAUGAAAUAACAAAACUUUUACUCAUUUCUUUCUCUAGUUCUCUCUCUAUUCCUUUCGAUCUUUCUCUCUGUAUUUCUUUGAUAUUGCUUGCAUACAUUCAUCUGUUAAUUCUUAGAUGAAUGUUAUCAUUUACAUCCUACACCAUGCUAAUAAUAUCCACCAAUUCUCUAUUUUAUUUAAAAAUAAAUAAAAAAUAUAUAUGAGGUAACGCAAGCUCUAGCUAGGUUUCAAGUCUACCAUGUUUAUUUUGUAGCAAGCAAGUGGAAUUAAUUAAGAAAAAUUUCAGUUUGGGUUAGGAGGAUAGAGGAGGGUGAUUAAUAUUACCUUUGGUGUAUUUCCAGACUUCACAGAGCCCGAAGUUUCCCAGUCCCCUUCAUUUACUGCAACAUGGUGGUACAGUAUCAGAGGCUCGGGAAUGUACACGUGGUGCUGGUUGCUAAUGACUUUGUACAAACGAUUUAUCAGCGUUCGCUUUGAACCCCCCAGUCUCCAGCUUGUAAUCACCAGCUCCACUCACAGCCAUUUUUUAUAAAGGAAAUUAAUGAAAAUGAUUCGAAAAUUUUGAAUUUUAACUAUAAUAAUAAAUAAAUGGUAAAGUAAAUAGUACCAUGAUUGAUUUUUAGUGUAAAUAUAUUAUUUUUCCUUAAAAUAAACAAUAUCAGAAGUUUUUCGUUCAAAUUCUCUUUUUUUUAAUUAGUAAUUAAUAUUAAAGUUCAUCUAAGAUUAUUUUUUAAAGGAGAUAUAUAUUAAAAGUAUCAAAUAGAAAAACAAGACAGCAUCAUUUAAAAAAAGGAAAACUAAUGAAAAUUGCUUGAAAACUUUGAGUUUUAACGAUAAAGACAAAAUAAAAAGUAAAGUAAAUAGUACCAGGUUUGACUUUUUAAUGUAAAAAUGUGGUUUUUCGUUAAAGUGAACAAUAUCGCUGGUUUUUCGUUAAAACUCCCUUCAAAAAAAGGGAAAGGGAUCAUUUUCGGAUUUGUUCUACCUAAUCAUCCUCAUCAAAUAAUCCGAGCUUUUAAAAUUUGAUCUAACGGCUAAAGUUAUUAUAACUUUUAGAAUUAGCCCGUAUUUUUAACCGUUUAAUCAAAUUUUAAUGAUCUGAAUUAUUUGAUGAUGAGAAUUAGAUAAAAAAGAUUGAAUGAUCGCUUUUCCAAAAAAGGAAAAAGAAAAACAAGACAGCAAGUUUCUUUUAACAGAUGAAUUUUAUUAGAGGUGGAACUGGUGUCCAACAUCCCAGGUGUUUUCUGAUAGCAUAACCCAAUAACGUCAAAUCCAUUAAUUUGAUUAUUUAAUAAAUGGCUCCCACAAUAGGAUUUGGAUCCUCUCCGAGGCAAUUGGUCGGAUCCUUCUGAUCAAUGUUUGUGGACUGUUAGAUUUUUAUUCAACGACUAUAAAUAAGGGGACAUUCUAAAGUUAUAAUAAUUGUAGUCGUUGGAUAAAAAUUCAACGGUCCAUAUACAUCGAUCUGGAGGAUCCCGACUCGAAGAGGAUCCAAAUCCCCCACAAUACACCAAUCACGUACCCCACCCAACCAAUUUACACAAUUUUUAACAGUAGGUCCCACAAUAUAUAAGAAAAAAGAAAUUUGACUCAUCAUUUGAAAAAAUAAAAAAAAAUUAACAUUUAACUUCAAAUACUCAUUUUAGUCAUUAAAUAAAAUUUAACAAUUUAUAAAUGAGUAAUGUUAGAGAAGCUAAUUUUUUAGACUAAAUUUUAUAAAUUAUAUGUAUUUGUUAACGAUUAAAUUAUUAUUUAAGUGUUGCUUAAUGUUUAUAUAGAGCCACAACCCACAAAGUCCUAGACAAAUAGCAUGUUUUAGUUAUGGAGGCAGUUGUGGUGGAUAUGAUCUGAUCACUUGAAGAAAAUGACGAGUCUGCGGAUCCUUGUGCAUCUUCAUCUUUGACAUGGGAGGUUUUAUGACUAGACCUACCAAAUUUAAUCACAACAGCGAACUUGAUAAUGAGACAUCAAUAAUUCAACGAUUCAGAAAACUUCAAUUAAAUUGGGACCCAUAAAUAAAUAUGCUAUUACUUCUUUUGUAAUCAAAGCUGGAUCAUUGAUGCCUAAUUCAGAAAGAGAAGUGUUAUUGGCACUUCAAAAGUCUCAUUGUACACUCUUUACAAGUGUAUUUUUCUUUCUUAAUAUAGAAAAUUUGGAGUGUAGAAUAAGAUUUUUGAAAUGCUACUAACAAUUCCCUUAAAAAAAAAAAAGGUUUUUAUGUUUUGCAUGCAACAUUUGGACACAGGAAUAUUCUUUGGGAUUCUAAUUGCGCAUACGUAUUAUCUUUCAAAUAUAUAAAAUUUGAAGUGCAAUUAAAUUUUUAGAAUGUAAAUAAAAGGGGAAACUUGAUAUAACUUCAAUUUUUUGAGCCAAUAGUAAGAAUAGUCCAAUUUAUUAAAAUAAGUCCAAUUCUUUAAAUUUAAUUAUUUUAUUAUCAAUAAUUAUCUCUUAAAAGAAAAAACUUAUUGUAAAAAUCAAAUUUCUUCCUAAUUAUCUCUUUGAUUAUUUCUUUUUAUUUAUUUAUUUGUUAUUUCUUGUUCUUCCUCCUGCUUUAACCCAUUUAUAGAUUUUUUUAAAUUUUUAUAAUCAACCUAUAUCAUAGGUUAAUUGUAUUUAUCUACCUAUAUGACAUAUUCUCUUUCAUAGUCAACAUGUCACAUAUUAAUGUGUCUUGCUUGUAGGUAUAUUAUAUUUUUUUCUACUUUUUAGUUAGGUUUCAUAUCUCACUUAUAGGUAUAAUAUACAUUCAUAUAUUUGCUACUUGAGUUAGGGUUUACUGUUUUGCAGAUAGAUUUAUGUUAGUAUAUUAAUUUUUUUUUGUUUAUAAGAUAUUAGUUAGAUAUUUUGGAGUUGAAAAAUGCAUAAUAUUAAAAUAUUUUAAUUGAUUUUUAAUAUUUUUAGAAAAUAUAAAAGGAGUAUAAAAGAAAUAAAAACAUAUAAUUAGAUAACUGGAGUCACUUCUAAAAACACUCUAUGUUUUUUGACCUGGAUCUAAAAGCCCCUAAAUAAAAUUACCUUCUUUUAUUGGUUUUUUUUUAAGGCUCGCAAAAAUGGUUGUCUUUGUUGUUUGGCGAAGGAACUUCAUGGAUAUCAUCAUAUUGUGGUCUUCUUUUUCACUUGUAUUGCUAAAAAAUAACUAAUUACAAAUCAAUUUUCAUCAAAAGGGUUGUUAAAUAAGAUAUUAAUUAAUGCUAUUUUUUUUCUUGAUACUGUUUGGGUCUCUCAACCUCGAUCUAUUAUUUUGCAUUUUAUUUCUUCCAUGAUCAUAUGUGUCUCCAUUGUUUAACAACAACUAAAAAUACUAUUGUUUCUUUAAAAAAAGUACUAUGUAUUUGACUAAGGCGAUUUUAUAUGACGAUGAGCAACAAAGUGGAGAUGGUGCACUACACCUUUUAUUUUGCAUACCAUAGUUCAUACAUUACAAUCUCACAUAUGAUAUCCCUUCACGUACAUUUGUUACAAGGCAACUUACAAAGCAAAGCAUUUUAAUUACUUGUAAUCAAGCAAAAGGCACGCAUUAUUAACACAAAUAUUAUAUACUAACGAUGGACGUCACACUGUUUCACCAUUGCAUUCUUUUCCUUUCCUUAAUUUAUCAUGCCUUGAUAAAGUGAGCAUCAAGAUCCUUGACGAUGUUAACCAUCAAACCGACGUAUUUGUCCGGACUGCAACAUCCUCAGUCAGUUUCUCAUAUUCAGUCGACAAUUUUGCAAUGUUGUCUUCAUUCUUUUGAGUGAAUUGAUAGACUGGCUUGAAGCUCUUGUAAUACUGGAAGACAUCUCCUUUCAGUCCAUUCAGUGUUAUGGAUUUGUUCUCGUUGUUUGACUACACUUUUUCCUUGAAUACUCGAACUUCGUCCCCUAUGUAUUCACAAGAAAGUGGUCUCUAUAUUGACCAAGGAACAAUAUAAAGGGAGCGUUUGAUAAAUAAUUUGUUUUAAGUUUUCACAAAAAUGAAAAUUGAAGUUAUUUUUGUCAGUUUUCUAAAUUUAUAUUAGUAAUUUUUAUUUUUUGAAGACUGAAAUAACAUGAGAUGGUUGAAUUAUUGCGGCACACCUCGAUUCUUUACCAACAUAUUUUGUUCUAAUUAUCCAUUAUAUCAAUAUAUAUUUUUCACGUAUGGGUUAAAAGUUGUUCGCUUGUGAAUCAGGGUUUAGUUAUUGCGAUCCUUCUAGUAUUGCUGGAUUAUGAUUAACAUAUAAUUGUGUUCUGAUCUUAGAGAAAAAAGGUACAUACCAUGUUAAAUACAUGAAGGUAUUUAUAUAUAAAUAUAGAGCUCGUUUGGAUGUGCUUUUAAAAUGGUUAAAAACACUUUUAGAGAAAGAAAAAAAUUUGUUCCAAAAGCACUUAAAUUGCUUUCUGCAAGAAGCAACAGUUAUGUGCUUUUCCAGGAAGCACUUUAAAUGCUUUUCCAGAAUUAACUUACAUUUUUACCAAGGAUUGGUUUUAAAAACAUUUUCACAAAAAAUGUUUUCAAUCAUUUUAAAAACAUAUCUAAACAAACACAUAUAUUAUGCACGUAUACUGAAAUUCCAACUUUUGAUAGAUCGAGCCAUGAGUUUCCUCCUUCAUGCACGUGAACUCCCUGGAUACUUCCAGAAUAAAUUUUUGGGACGUGUGGCGAGCCUGGCUAUUGAAGAUAUUGUAGAACUUCUCAGCAGGUGCCUUAAUUUCAAUCUCUGUUCGUGCAGAGUCAUGUUUAUGAUCAGUUGGGAUGGUGCUCAACAAUGCGUCGCCAAGGCCUGUUCUAAAGAAAACUUAAGGUCACCCCUCUACUGCUACAGUUAAAUUAUGCAAUAUUAAUUUAUGCUAUAACUUUGAAAAAGUAGUGCUUCGAACGAUCGCAUGAAAAACAUUCGUUUAUUAAAAAAAAGGUAAAUCGUCAAAAUGGUCCUUGAGAUUUGUAUAACUUAUCACUUUGAUCUCUAAGAUUCCAAAUCGAUAAAAGUAGUCCCUGAGAUUGUCUACCAUCCAUCAUUUUGGUCAUUCGGUUAAAAAAUCCGUUAAGUGUCCCGGAGCUCUUAGCCGGAGGUUUGGACAAUUUUCAAAACUUCGUAACUCAAUCGUUUCUUAACCAAAUUUGACCCAUAAUAUAUCAAAAUGAAGAUAGGAAAGUGUAGAAUAAGAUUAUACCUAUUUCAAAGCCCAAUGGUUGCCGAAGAUUGUCAGAAAAUAGCCUCAAAGUUGACUGGUUCGAGUGAAAACUUGAAAACUCGCUGGAAACUGAGUAAACUUUAAACGUUCAUAACUUCUUCAAUACUCAACGAAAUCAAGUGAUUCAAAAACAAAAAUCAUACUUCUCGAUGAGAUGAAGAGAAUGAUACCUUUUUAGAUGGCUAAAUCGUCGUGGUUUGGCCGGAAAGCAGCUCGAAAGUGGCUAACUCGAGACCAAGAUAGCCACUUUCAAGCCGUUUUCCGGCCAAACCACGGCGAUUUAGUAGUUAAAAAAGGUACCAUUCUCUUUGUCUCAUCGAGAAGUAUGAUUUUCAUUUUUGAAUCACUUGAUUUUGUUGAGUAUUGAAGAAGUUAUAAAGGUUUUGAAGUUUACCCAGUUUCCGGUGAGUUUUCAAGUUUUCACUCUGACCAAUCAACUUUGAGGCUAUUUUCUGGCAAUCUCUGGCAACCAUUGGGCUUCGAAAUAGGUAUAAUCUUAUUCUACACUUUCCUAUCUUCAUUUUGAUAUAUUAUGGGUCGAAUUUGAUUAAGAAACGAUUGAGUUACGAAGCUUUGACAAUUGCCCAAACUUCCGGCCAACAGCUCCGGAACACUUAACAGAGUUUUUAAUGGAAUGACCAAAAUGAUGGAUGGUGGACAAUCGCAGGGACCACUUUUAUCGAUUUGGAAUCUCAGGGACCAAAGUGAUGAGUUAUGCAAAUCUCAUGGACUAUUUUGACGAUUUAUCCUUAAAAAAAAUUCAGAUAAAGAAAAUGAGAAAUUAAUUUCUCAUCCCUCUUUUUUCUAUUACAUUGAUUAAAAUCUUAUUUUUGAUCAAGGUCCUAACUUUCAAUGAACGUCAUUAUUUCUGUUAUAAAUUAUUUAUAUAUCAACAUAAUUAAAUUUUAUUUUUGAAAUAUAUUCAAUUAGUAUUAGAAACAUUACAUUUGGUACAUUUAUAUUUAUCAUUAAACUUUGUAUCAUAUAUUUCUAUUUUUAGUUUGUACCAUUUUUAAUUGGCAACCCUUUUUUAAUUUGUAUCAAUUUUCUUUUUAAUUUUAAUGUGUACCGAUAUAUUAAUUUCAUUUUGUGCCCAUAAUUUUUUUUAAAUUUUUUUAUACUCAUAAUUCAUUUAUAAUGUACCCAUAUUUCAUUAAAACUCUUUUUUUUUCUUUAUAAAUGUACCACUUUGUUAUAUGUAAGAUGUACCAAAUUGUUUUUUUUGUAAAUGUACCAUUUUUAUGUAAAAUGUUCCCAUAUUUAAUGUAAAAUCUAUUUAUUUUUUUAUUAAGAAUGUGUACAUAUUUAUAAUAAAACGUUCCCCUUUUCAAUUUUUUUGAACACUAUGGGUACAUUUGUUUGACAUUUAUUAUUUCAAAGGUAUAUUGUUACCUAUUUUUAUCUAUUUAUUCAAUCAAAAUUUUUGAGUAUUUUUUUUAUUGUAAUCGUUUUUAAUUUAUAUGCUAUAUAAUAUGGGAUUUUAAAUCUCAUAACAUGUCAAGUAAUUAAUAUCAAACAAUGAAAAUACAUAUUAAUAGCCAUAAUGAGGUGUACCUUUAAAGUCAAGGGACUUUGAUAAAAAAUUGAAUACUAUUAAAGGUUUAGUCAAAUAAUGUUAUUGACUAGGGACUGAAUCCAAAGUCUCUCUAAAAAAUAUAUAUAUAUAUAUAAGACAAACGUACGUAAUCACUUUCGGUUCGAUUAAGAACAUGAUUUGGAUCAAUAAUAUUAGGGUGCUAAUAUUGAUAUCAUUAGAUUUCAAUUACUAAUCACUGGUUUUUUUGCAAUAUUAUACUUUUACUCAACUACCACAUUUUUUCCCUUCUGGAUGUAUGAAAAUUUAGGUAUUGCGUUCGUUCUUUUUUGAGAAGUCAUCGCCAACUCCCUUGCCCUACUAUUUUUAUCAAGGAAAAACUCCCCAUGUUUAAAAGCUGUAUAAUUAACCAGGAUGAAUGCUGGACAACUGUCGAAAGCAAAACUCAAAGUUCAUUGUAUAAUUAUAACAGUGAGACUACAGCCUGACGAAGAACAUGAUUGUCAAAAGUUAUAUAAAAAAAAUGAUAUCAGAGUAAAUCUCCAAUGAAUCGGAAAGUGAGUCUUUAAAAUAUAGAGUCUUAAGUGGAUUAGUGUAGAAUAUCUUUUGUACUAAAAAAAAAGUUAUGUAUAUAAUGUUGAGAAUGAAUCCCACAUUGAUAGGAGGAGUGAUAAGGAUUUUUAUCACCUGCAAAUAUAAGGAUAAAAACACUUAAAAAUACUUGCAAAAGUACAAGGUUGUCGUAGUAUAGCAGUUCAAGCAAGGUCAUUUUUCACAGGAAUUGAAUGCAUAGUUUAUGUUUAUACUAAUUCUUAGCUAAUUAUUUAGAACAAAGAUUGGAAAAGGUUGAUUUUGAAUUUAAAAAUAAUAAAAACGAAUUUAAUUAAAAACAAUUAAAGGAAUUUACUAGAGAACAAUUUAAAGAAAGUCAAUUUGUAAAGAUUAGGGUUCCGCCGUUCCCUUAACAAUCCUACGCAAUUUUACCAAUUACUUAUGAAUUUCCACACACAUGCUUUGAAGGUUAGGUUUUCCUAAUGCAUAUUUUUCUCGUGAUGUUCAAGCGAAAACAUAAAUCUAACAUGCAACCCUUUUGUAAUGUUCAGAUCAAAUAUAAACAUGCAAGACUCAUUAAGCUUUGUGAAAACCCUUUGAAAAACCAUGGAACCCUUAAGAGCGUGAUGUUCGCCUUAAGUGAACUUACAAUUACUAAUCAUAAGAAGCCCUCCUCAAUUUCAGGGUGAUGUUCUGUCACAUCCCGGCAUCGUGCUAGGUAGAUAUGAGAAUAUACAUAUAAGGAUCACUCCCCUGGGCGAUGUGGGAUCUUACAAUCCACCCCCCUUAGGGGCCUGACGUCCUCGUCGGCACACCACAACCAGGGUUAGGCUCUGAUACCAAAUAGUCACAUCCCGACCUGGGCCCCCAUCACAUCCCGGGCUCGACUCCACCGUAGCACGAUAUUGUCCGCUUUGGGCCCCGACCACGCCCUCACGAUUUUGUUUCUGGGAACUCACACGAGAACUUCCCAGUGGGUCACCCAUCUUGAGAAUGCUCUCGCGCGAACUCGCUUAACUUCGGAGUUCUUAUGGAACCCGAAGCCAGUGAGCUCCCAAAAGGCCUCGUGCUAGGUAGAGAUGAGAAUAUACAUAUAAGGAUCACUCUCCUGGGCGAUGUGCGAUCUUACAUGUUCCAACCGAAAUUGCAUCAAAUUACUUGUCUAAAAAUCCUAAUGGUCGCAAAUUACUAAGACAAUUAGAUAGCUUUAAUCGCAAUGAUUAAUAAUUCAAAGCAAGCAUGCAUCCAUUCAUAAGGAAAUUAAUAAAAUCACAUAUUCAUGCUAAGGCUCAUGGCUUCGCCCUAGCAAACAGAAAUUAGUUACGAACUAUAAAAACUAAAGAAAAUAUAUUAACUAGAAAAAGGAUUGAAAACACCUUGUAGGUAAAAAGUCUGAAAUUCUCCAAAAUAAUGUGUGCCUUCUCCCCCUAACCUUAAUGGCUAAAAAGCCUUAUUUAUACUACUCCAAAUUAAAACCCUCAUAGAAAAGGUUUUCUAAAAACUAGGAAAUAAAAUAACAAAAGGAUAACUAAGAAUUGCAUUCCUAUUAUGACUAUGAAAUCUGCCCAUAAAAAAGAUAGCCAUGUUUCUGGAUCUUCAGGGUUCCAAAACAGACCCAAAAUGGCUAGAAUUAAAGAUUAGGACCUCCUCUUCAAGUUAGAAGAAGAACCCAAGUCCAAAAUCCAUCAUCUUCCAACCCAAAAGUCACAAAUAAGCUCUGCAGCCCAAUCUGCCAGCACUGCACGCUGGGCAUAAAUUAAUUCACCACGAUCUGAUGCUUUGAGAUAAAAUUAUGAAAUUCUGAUACAAUCUUCUUGACAGACUCACGAACCCACUCCAAUUGGAAUCACUAAAAAAUUCCACCGUUUGAGUACUUUAUGAUCAAAACAAGUUCGCAUGUCCUACAAUAAAAACAUAGAGCAAAGCCUCAAAAUCUCACUAAAAUAAUAACCAAAAUAUACCAAGAAUAGGGAAUAAUAUAUAGUAUAAAAUUGACUCAUUAGGACAUUGCAUGAACUUAUAAGUAAGUUGGGCUACUUUCUAUAUUGCCAAUUGGUUUUAUGGUGUAACCUUAACUUUCUUCAUACCCAUGUGUGAAGCCAAAAGACCACGCACGCUCCAUGUCACCCAUUUGUGUUGUUCACGUAUUAGACUUGAAAAUUCGCCACACGUGAGGGCGCGUAUUAAGAAUGAAUCUCACAUUAAUGGGAGGAUAAAUCUUGCAUGCACCUAUAAGUAGGUUGAAAAACAAUAUUGGACAAAUAUUGUAGAGUACACCACAUUUUAUUUUAUAGAUGCGAUCGACAACCAUAAUCUAUUACAUCACAAUGUCAUAUAUGACAUCCUUCGUACAUCUUUUACAAUACACACAAACCUAAUUAAGAAAAGCAUUUUAUUUAAGUAGGUACGCAUUGAUGAACAUAUGCAUGCAUGAUUACAUAUAAUUGAACCCUUUUUAACAAGACCAGCAAAAGCUCUUUCCAACCGUUGCAUAUGACGUAUGGUUUUUAUUCAUUAAUUAAUUAAUUUAUGCUCCCAGAAGGUGAGCGUCAAGAUCCUGGACGAGUUUAACCAUCAAACCGACAUAUCUAUCUGGAGCUUUAACAUUCUCAUGCAGUUUCUCGUAUUCGAUCCACAGGUUGGCAAUGCAGGUGCCUUCAUCUUUUUGAGUGAAUUUAUAGACACCCUUGAAGCUCUUAUAAUACUUGAACACUUCUCCUUCCAAUCCUUUCAGAGUUGCGGCUUGUUCCCAUCGUCUAGCUCCACCUGUUCCUUGAAUAUCCCGACAUGAUCCCCUAUAUAUAUGCAUGCAUGCAUUCAUGGUUAAUUUCAUAACAACAAAAUAUAUAAACUUUCUCACCCUCUCUUAUUAGGAUCUUGUUUCCACUGUAGCAAAAAGGGGGCAAUAUGACUUAUUUAGGAAACAUGUAUUUACUGUAUAUGACUCUCAUUGUCUAGAACAAAAAUUGAAGGAAGCAUUGAAAUAUAUAUAAGAGGUCAUAUAUGGUAAAUACAUGAUUUCUACGAUUGUUCUAUCUCGACCUUGUUUUUGCUACAAUAAAUCAGAAUUUCUGCGAAAAAGCUGUAAACAUUGAAACUCGUGCUAUGAACGUAUGAUGAUUUGAGCGCAUCUGUUAAGGUAUACAUACAUAUAAAGUGAAUAAUUAAACAGGAAAAUUGAAUUAAGUAGCGGUACCUAGUUCAUAUUUCCAAAUCUUAACAGAGCCGUGUGUUUCCCAAUCUCCUUCAUGCACAUCAACUCCUUUGAUAUGGGUAUUAGAGAUGUUUGGGAUGAGGUGGGCGCUCUUGAACAUGUUGUACAACUUGUCAGCUGGUGCCUUAAUUUCUAUUUCAGUCCCAAUUUUACCAUGCAAAACCAUGUUUAUGAGCAGUUUUGAUGGGUGCUACUCAGAAAUUAUAAGAGAAGAAUGUUAAAGGAUAUGUAUAAUUUGGGCUCCUACCCUCCUUAAAUAGAAGCGACUAGAGUUAAAUUGCGAGAUAAAACUUAAUAUAUCCGGAACACGAUACAGUACGCCAUAUAUAUAUAAUAUGUAAUAUAAAUAUGGAGGGAAAGUUUUUUUUUUUUUUUUUUUUUUUUUUUGCAAGUGUUUCUCUACUUGUGUAGACGUAUGUACCCGUGUUCUAGAUAUUAAAAAUUCUCCCGUAAUAUUUUAAUAGUGGGUAAUCCAAUUUAAAAACCAAAUCAUGCAACACGUGAUAAAGAUUAAGUCAUAUAUUUUUUAAAUCAUACUUCUCGGAUAAUUGGAAUCCUAUGAAGUAAUGAUCACAAGUUCACAAUAUGCAUGGAUAGAUGAAGGGUUUGCUCAUGAUUAAUGUUAGGGAGACCAAAUUUCUAAAUCAAAAUUUGUAAACAAAAUAAUGUGGAGGUAAAUGAUUGAAUUAUUAUUUAAGUGUUAAUUAAUAUGCUUGUUUCUUAUUAAUAACAUAUCAUUUGAUUUGCAUUCACGCAUGCGAUAAAGAUUAGAUUAGUACGAUCACACUAAAAAUUUAUAUGUAAAUGUUUUAAAAUAAAAUGUAAUUUAUCUGCAAAAUGUUUUUUUUUUAAAAGGUACGAUAUUCUUUAAUAACAAAUUUAUACGUACAUCAAUGAGGAUAGGGUGUAAACAAAUGGCCUCGAUAAAAACCUUGCCGGGGUUUUUAACCCGAUCGAAGAGAGAUUUUUCAAUGUGACCGUCACACAAGGAGGUACACCACGUGUCUCUAUGUAAAUGGUUAGAUAUGUGUGUUAAAAGAUUAAUAACUUAAAAAUUAAAAUUUUCCACCACUUACAUAAAAAUACGUGGUGUACCAUCCGUGUUCCUGUCACAACUAAAAAUUUUCCCCGGUUGAAGGGAAAAAGAGUGUCCCACACCAACAUAAUUAAUUAAGAAUUGCUAUCCUAAAAAAGAAGAUCAAGAAUUACAUUAGGAAGUUCCUCAGACCAAACCACACAUUGUUACCAUAACUCAAGCUCAUACGUGCUAGCCUGUGUGCCACCUUGUUCGUCUCCUUUUGACUAAAUUCAACCUUCCACUUGGACAAUGAAUGAAUAAUUGCGUGUGUCGUUUAGAAUGUUUCCAAAGUGUGAGGUGUCAAUACUUCCUUCUGCAAAAUGUUUUAGAAUAAAAAGUUUUAUAUCUUGUAGGAUCACAUCUAUUUAUUUAUUAUCAUUAUUAUAUUUUUGGAAAGAUCGAUACGUAUGGGCCAUGGCGUCUGGUUCUUUUGUUAAAAAGCCAUCAAAUGGGGAGGCAUGGAUGAGGUAUUAGGUAUCCACAAAUGUCAGUUCACAAAAUAUUAUACUAAAAGUAAUUGAAAAGAAUCAAACAAAUAUUAAUUCUUUUCCCAAGAUAAUCCACUAAAAUGAGGGUCCACAACAUAGUUUUUCGGGAACUUUAACGAAAAACACCCGGUACUGUUCACUUUAACGAAAAACCACAUUUUUACACUAAAAAAUCAAUCCUGGUACUAUUCACUUUACCCUUUAUUUUGUCCUUAUCAUUAAAGCUCAAAGUUUUCAAGCCCUUUUCAUUAAUUUUCCUUAGUUUUUUCCACUAGAGUUUAUUGAUCCUUGAAGACUAUCAUUGACGAUUGAUCAUCCAACAGGUGCAUUAUUUAUUUUUUAACAAACGGUAAUAGUUACUAUUUCUUGAAUUGGAUAGGGGUAUCGAUACUAUUUCUUAAAUAAAACAUUAAUACUAUUAUUAUUCUUAAACUGAAUACUGGCACUAUUACUAUUUUUUAAACUGAACAUUCAUUAUUUCUUAAACCGAGCGCUGGUACUAUAACUAUUUCUUAAACUGAACAUUCAGUAUUUCUUAAACUGGACAUUCACUAUUUCGUAAACUGAACACAAAUAUUAUUACUAUUUCUUAAACUGAAUAUUCAUUAUUUUGUAUACUGAACACGGAUAUUAUCAUUAUUUCUUAAACGUAACACUAAUAUUAUUACUAUUUCUUAAGCUGAAUACUGACUAUUUCUUAAAUUGAACAAUAACUAUUUUUAUAAUUGAAUACAAGCACUGUCCCUAUUUCUUAAACCAAAAAUAGUGAAUUAGGGUUUAGUUAUUACGAUAUAUUACUGGAUUAUGAUUAACAUAUAAUUGUGUUCUGGCCUUAGAGAAAAAAGGUACACACCAUGUUAAAUACAUGUAGGCAUUUAUAUAUAAAUAUAUAUUACAUACGUAUAUAAUUCCAACUUUUGAUAGAUCAAGCCAUGAGUUUCCCAGUCUCCUUCUUGCACCUGAACUCCCUGGAUACUGCCAGAACAAAUUUUUGGGACGUGUGGCGAGCCUGGCUCUUGAAGAUGUUGUAGAACUUCUCAGCAGGUGCCUUAAUUUCGAUCUCAGUCUCAACCUUACCGUGCAGAGUCGUGUUUAUGAUCAGUUGGGAUGGCACUCAACAAUGCGUACAAGGCCUGUUCUAAAGAAACUUAAGGGCAGCCCUUUUCUGCUACAGUUAAAUUAUACAAUAUUAAUUUGAGGUAUUCAUCAAUUUACCUCCUAACUUAUAAGAAUUGGUCAAUUUUCCUUAUCAACUUUCAUAAUUAAUCAAUUUGCACCAUACUAUUAAUUUUUUAAAAUUUUUCAUCCUUUCUUCUGUUAAGUAUGUCAAGUGUUAUCCGCAUGACUGCCUUUAAAGGGUAAAAAGGUCAUUUUACCUACACCUUCCGUCUUCUUUCUCUUCUCCGAACUUUCUUUUCUUCUUCUUUUUCACCAAGCCGAGCCCGUACUGUUCCACCGUGCUCCACAGGCACGAUUUUCCCGGCGAACACCAAAAGAAACAGUGGGAGGGAUCUGAGCUCGUAGAUCCGCGUUCACUACAUCCCCUUCUUGCACUCCUCGCAAACCCUACCCUCCGAUUCUAAUGGGACACCUCCCCCGUCGCCACUGAGUUCCUGAAGAAGAACCGCGCAUACGACUUGGCCACCACCGCCGCCACUCCAACCACUCCCAGAGCCACAGGCGCGUGCUCCCCCGAAGACCCGCACCUGAAGUUGGCGCCCCCAAUUAUGAUCGAGUACUUGGACUUUCUCUUUCCCGGAUCCACGAAGCGCGUGGAGUAGGAGGCGGGGAGGUUGCAUAGCGUGUAAGACCCUAGCUUGGCGAUGUGGGGAGAAGAUGAGAUGGAUUUGAUCAAAGACUUGCCGAAGAAUCUGGGGAGAAGAUGCGGGGACUUUCUCUCCCGUAUUACUUAUCCUAUCAUUUUCCUUGUACGGGCUGCCAAACGAGGCCUUAGUAUGCUAUUGCCUUGUAUUUGAAAUUAGACAAUCGUUUUAUUUAAAAAAAAACAAACUUACUAAGUUCACACUUAAACAUAUUUAAACAAACUUACUAAGGUCAACACACUUGCAGAUAACACAAUUAAAACUAAACAUACCAACAAACAUGGAUCACACUUACAAGGCCAAACAAAGCAUAUAUAUAUAUAUAUGUAUGUAUGUAUGUAUAAUGUAUGUAUGUAUAUAUAUGUAUAUUAUAUUUAUGAACAGUAUUGCCCUUGCUCUUGUCUUUGCCCAACUGGUAGUAGAGUUGCACAGAGACAAAGUUGUUGGUAUAUGGUCCAGCCCAUGAUCAAUGUUCUAGAUUAUUCUAGUAAGCAAGAGAUGAGGCUGAAGCUUGCUAGACAAUUCUAGAAUGUUAUUAAGUUGAUGGAAGAAGCUAGAGAGUACUAGCUUCCUUGGUUGCAAAUGGAAAGAUCUAGAAGCUACAAGUAUAUGGCUAGUCUAGAUUUUUCUAUACUAGAGGUUUGAAGAAGGAACUAGAAACUAGUAGAAUGCCAAACCCUCACCUAUAAAUAUGGGUGUGAUGUAACCAAUUGAGAACCAAGAGUGAGUAGCAAAGGAUCAAGUCCAAAGCUAGAGUUCCACUCCAAGAGUGAGAGUGAGAGUGUUCCACUACACAUUGUGUGAGUGAAGUUUAGAGUGAUAGAAAGUGUGUGUUAUACUUUCUUGUAUCCAUCAAGCCUUGUCUUUGGCUUGGUAAGACUACUCUUGUUGUAUUCAUCUUUUUCAUAUAGUGAAGAUUGAUCCUUGUUUGGUGGACGUAGGCAUAAAUUGCCGAACCACAUAAACUUUUCUUGGCGUCCAUUUUCUACUUUACCUUGUGCAUUCUCUAUCUUGUAGUACCGACAUUCCUAACAAGUGGUAUCAGAGCCCGGUUGGCUCGUACUACGAGAUGGAAGGAAGUGGCACUAUGAUCAAACUCACCAACUCCAAUUGGGUAACAUGGAAGCCAAGGAUGGAGGACAUUCUCUAUUGCAAGGAUUUGCAUGAGCCAAUUGAAGGAGAUGCCGCUAAGCCCGAGAGCAUGUCCGAUGCCGAGUGGAAGAAGAUGAAUCGCAAGGCUAUUGGCACAAUUAGACAAUGGGUGGACGAUAGUGUUUUUCACCAUGUGUCUAAUGAAACCAAUGCUCGCGAGUUUUGGACAAAGCUUGAGUCCUUGUUCGAGAAGAAAACUCCAGCUAAGAAAGCCUUCUUGAUCAAAGAGCUCAUCAAUGUGAAGUACAAGGAUGGUUUAAGUGUAGCAGAACACUUGAACAAUUUCCAGAAUAUCAUCAACCAGUUGGCUACUAUGAAAAUGAUGAUCGAGGACGAGCUACAAGCGCUCUUGUUACUUGGAUCCUUGCCAGACAGUUGGGAGACCUUUGUGGUGAGUAUAAGUAACUCUGCUUCUAAUGGUGUUCUUACUCUUGAUAAUGUUAAAAAUAGCAUGCUCAAUGAAGAAACAAGGAGAAAGACUUCUGGCACAGAUAGCAGCCAAGUAUUUGUCACAGAGAACCGCGGAAGAAGCAAGAGUAGAGGGCCUAGAGGUCAUGGCAGGAGUCCUAGCCGAUCCAAGUCAAAGUUCAGGGGUGCAUGCCACCACUGUGGCAAAGAAGGCCAUAUGAAGAAAAAUUGUCGAGUUUGGAAGAGAGAGCAAAGGGAAGGAAACAAUCAGAAGAAAGAUGAUACUGGCAAUACCACCGCUGUCAUCUGUGGUGAUGUACCAGAAAUAUUGUCUGUUGGUGAAUGUCUGCAUAUGGGCAACUCUGACAGAGACAUUGAAUGGAUCUUUGAUAAUGGAGCUUCCUUCCAUGCUACGUCCAAACGGGAGUUCUUCAGUACAUACAAAGAAGGUGACUUUGGCAUAGUGAAGAUGGGGAAUGAAAGCUAUUCCAAAAUUCUUGGAAUUGGUGAUAUCUGCUUAAGAACUAAUCUCGGCUGCCAAUUGAUGUUGAAAGAUGUGAGACAUAUUCCUGAUAUACGUCUCAAUCUGAUAUCCAUCGGUACCCUUGAUCGACAAGGAUAUUAUCACCAUAUUGGCGAAGGAAAAUUGAAGCUUACUAAAGGCUUAAUGGUGGUAGCAAAAGCACGACUUUGUUGUACGUUGUACCGGUCAAAUGCACAGGUUUUUGAAAGGUGAGUUGAAUGCUGUGGAGGACUCAUCUCUAGACUUAUGGCAUAAGAGGCUGGGCCACAUAAGCGAGAAAGGCCUACAAGUUUUGGCAAAGAAGUCUCACAUUCCCUUUACCGAAGGUACGUCGUUAAACUCUUGUGAGCAUUGUUUAUUCGGAAAACAAAGAAGAGUUAGUUUUUCUGUUCCAUCUACAAAGAAAGGAAACUUGUUAGAUCUUGUUUAUUCAGAUGUGUGUGGUCCCAUGGAAGUCGAGUCACUUGGAAGAAAUAAAUAUUUUGUUACUUAUAUUGAUGAUGAUGCUUCACGAAGGGUGUGGGUGUAUUUGUUGAAAUCCAAAGACCAGGUGUUUCAGACAUUCCAGGAGUUCUAUGCCAUGGUGGAGAGGGAAACUGGGAAACCUCUCAAGUGCCUUCGUAGCGACAACGGCGGCGAGUACACAUCUCACCAGUUUAGAGAGUAUUGUGUAAAACAUGGCAUACGUCAUGAGAAGACAGUUCCUGGAACUCCACAACAUAACGGUGUUGCUGAAAGAAUGAACCGAACCAUCAUGGAGAAAGUCAGGUGUAUGUUGAGGACUGCAAAGUUAUCUAAGCAGUUCUGGGGUGAAGCUGUAAGGACAGCCUGCUAUUUGAUCAACCGAUCUCCAUCAGUACCAUUAGGUCUUGAUGUUCCAGAGAGAGUAUGGACUGGUAAUGAUGUGUCUUACUCUCAUCUGAAGGUGUUUGGUUGCAAAGCUUUUGUGCAUGUGCCCAAAGAGCAGAGAUCGAAGUUAGACUACAAAGCUACACCGUGCAUCUUUCUUGGUUAUGGCGGUGAAGAUUUUGGUUACAGAUUAUGGGACCCAUACCAGAAGAAGUUUAUCCGAAGUAGAGACGUGGUCUUUUAUGAAGAACAAACAAUUGGGGAUUCGGAUAAAGAGGCACAACCAGAUGGCGCAGUCAGAGGAGUUGAUCCAUUAGCUUCAGAUGAAGAAAGUCACGAUGACAUCCCUGAAGCAACUGCCAAUGAAGUGCCUGCAGAAUCAGAUAAUGCUAAUCAAGAGGAGCCUGAUCAAGAUGUGCCAAACCAUGAGAUUGCUCAUCAGGGGAGCCUAGUCAAGAAGAGCAUAUUCAAGGAGAACCCAAUCAGGGGGAGCCUCCAGCCCUACAAGAGAAUGAAGAUCAGGUCAGAAGAUCCAUCAGAAGUCGAAGACCGUCUACCAAGUAUUCUUCAUCAGAGUAUAUCAUGUUGACUAAUUAUGGAGAGCCCGAAACAUAUGAGGAGGCCAGAGCUCAUAACGACAGUGACAAAUGGAUGAAGGCAAUGGAGUCGGAGAUGGAUUCCUUAUCAAAGAAUGAUACCUAUGAGCUGGUGGAGCUUCCAAAGGGCAGGAAAGCAUUGAAAAACAAGUGGGUGUUCAAAUUGAAAAGAGACGACAACAUGACAAGGUACAAGGCUCGUUUGGUUGUCAAAGGUUUUGGUCAAAAGAAAGGAGUUGACUUUGAUGAGAUUUUCUCACCGGUGGUGAAGAUGACUUCCAUUCGAGUUAUCCUUGGUAUGGCAGCAAGCAUGGAUCUUGAGCUCGAGCAGUUAGAUGUUAAAACUGCAUUUCUCCACGGCAAUUUAGAAGAGGAGAUAUACAUGGAGCAACCCAAAGGCUUUGAAGUCAAAGGUAAAGAAAAUUUGGUGUGCAAGCUCAAGAAAAGUUUAUAUGGUCUUAAGCAGGCUCCGAGACAGUGGAAUAAGAAGUUCAACUCACUCAUGGUGAGUAAUGGGUACAAGAGAACUCAUGCUGACUCUUGUGUCUAUAUCAAACAAUUUUCUGGAGGUAAAUUCAUCAUCUUAUUGCUUUAUGUUGAUGACAUGUUGAUUGUCGGACAAGAUACCUCUAUGAUUAAAAAGCUCAAAGAAGAGUUAUCUAAGUCCUUUGACAUGAAGGACUUAGGGCCAGCCAAGCAGAUUUUGGGCAUGGAUAUAAUUCGUGACAGAAAAUCCAAAAAGUUGUGGCUGUCACAAGAAAAGUAUGUUGAACGGGUGCUUGAAAGGUUCAACAUGAAAGCAGCCAAAUCGGUAAGCUCACCUUUAGCCAAUCAUAUCAAGUUGAGCAAAGAGUCAUGUCCAAAAACAUAUUGAAGAAAAGGAGAAAAUGGCAGUUGUUCCCUACUCUUCAGCAGUAGGAAGUAUCAUGUAUGCAAUGGUGUGCACACGGCCAGAUAUUGCUCAUGCAGUAGGUGUGGUGAGCAGGUUUCUCUCUAAUCCAGGGAAGGACCACUGGGAAGCUGUUAAGUGGAUUCUCAGAUAUUUGAAAGGGACUUCUAAGAUGUGCUUGUGCUUUGGCGGUUCCAAACCAAUCUUGGAAGGAUUUACAGAUGCUGACAUGGGAGGUGACCUGGAUGGUAGAAAAUCUACGUCUGGGUACUUGUUUACUUUUACAGGGGGAGCCGUGUCUUGGCAAUCCAAGUUACAAAAGUGCAUUGCUUUGUCCACAACCGAGGCUGAAUACAUAGCCGCUACAGAAGCAUGCAAGGAGUUGUUGUGGCUGAAGCGGUUUCUCCAAGAGUUGGGUUUGAAGCAAAGUGAUUAUGGCGUUUAUUGUGAUAGUCAGAGUGCUCUGGACUUGAGCAAGAACACUACAUAUCAUUCACGCACUAAGCACAUUGAUAUUCGUUAUCAUUGGAUUAGAGACGCUAUCGAGAACAAGUUGCUGCAGCUGAAGAAGAUUCAUACCGAUAAUAAUUCUUCAGACAUGUUGACAAAGGUAGUCACAAAAUCAAAGUUGGAAUUCUGCAUUAAGGCUGCUGGGAUGAACUCCAGGUAACUUGGAGUCAUGAUCGGAAUUCCUCCCUCAUGGACUGGAGGGGGAGAUUGUUGGUAUAUGGUCCAGCCCAUGAUCAAUGUUCUAGAUUAUUCUAGUAAGCAAGAGAUGAGGCUGAAGCUUGCUAGACAAUUCUAGAAUGUUAUUAAGUUGAUGGAAGAAGCUAGAGAGUACUAGCUUCCUUGGUUGCAAAUGGAAAGAUCUAGAAGCUACAAGUAUAUGGCUAGUCUAGAUUUUUCUAUACUAGAGGUUUGAAGAAGGAACUAGAAACUAGUAGAAUGCCAAACCCUCACCUAUAAAUAUGGGUGUGAUGUAACCAAUUGAGAACCAAGAGUGAGUAGCAAAGGAUCAAGUCCAAAGCUAGAGUUCCACUCCAAGAGUGAGAGUGAGAGUGUUCCACUACACAUUGUGUGAGUGAAGUUUAGAGUGAUAGAAAGUGUGUGUUAUACUUUCUUGUAUCCAUCAAGCCUUGUCUUUGGCUUGGUAAGACUACUCUUGUUGUAUUCAUCUUUUUCAUAUAGUGAAGAUUGAUCCUUGUUUGGUGGACGUAGGCAUAAAUUGCCGAACCACAUAAAUUCUUGGCGUCCAUUUUCUACUUUACCUUGUGCAUUCUCUAUCUUGUAGUACCGACAUUCCUAACAAAAGUAUUGUUCAUAGUAAAAAGUACGGGCAAGCCAACUGCCUUGUUCUUACACUUGCGUUCUCCAAACGGGUGAAACUGCUAUUAUGAUCGGUCUGAAGUAGACGCGCUUAUUCUUGCGUGAGGAAAUUAUCAGUCUCCUUAACAAGAUAACAGCUAACUGGAGCUGAAGUUGGGGAUCCGGAACCCAUCAUGUAGCUUUUCAUAUUGUAGAACCAAAUUCACCACGCUGCCCUCAUCAUGAACGCCUAAUUUUGGAGUAACUUGUAAAGUGAUCUUAAAGCUCUUGUAUCGAUCUAGAGGGUUUCCUUCAAGCACUGUGAAAGUCACCGAAUGAUUUACAUCGUCUAUGGCUUCAGUUAACUCCUUGGAAAAAGUUGGUUUCCCAUCUGCUAACAUUUCAUCACAAAUCAAUUACUUGCUUCAUCCACAAAAAAACAUGUCGACAUAUAUAGUAAGAGAACAAUCUUUCAGCCACACUUACCUUCAAUAUAAUCCCACAAGAAGACACAACCCACUUUACCCCAUUCACCUUCAAGUAAUUUAUGACUCGGAACUUUGUCGGGGCUGAUGUUGCAUAUUUCGUACGGUGUUCGUGCAAAGAAUUCAUGGAACCUGUUUGCUUCAGACUUGAUUUCAACACUCGUCUCCACCUUGCUAGAAUUUGACAUUUUCCACAAGUACCAGAGUUGAAGGAAAAACGACUUUGGUGGUUCCCAACGUGAAAAUGGCGGGGUUUAGUGCAGCAACAAAGAAAAUGGCGGUGGCUGCUGCAAAUGGAUGUGGUGAUUCCCUCUCCCGCAGAAAAGAAGAUAAGUUUUUCUUACAAUAUUCUAAUUAUUCUCCAUGAUGAUGUCUGCCAUCUGCAAUAAAAAAAUAAUAAAAAGAAAAAAGACAGCCACUGAUGAUUGGUGAAGUGACGAGAUAAUCAUCAACUAGCUCAGCUCCACCCUCAGCACAACUGUGACGAAACCCACUUUUCUGAGAAAAUCACGAGAAAAGCAGAAAGCAAAAGAUAAAGCAAAAGGAAGACACAUGGGGACACUGCAAAAGUAAGGAAUAAACAUCCCACCAGAAUGAUGUAAUUUAUUUUUAUUAUCUUUCGGAGACAUCUGUAUAAACCCCAUCAGAGGGUAAUUAAAAAAAAAAAGCCCAAAAUAAUGGGCUGCAAACCCAAAAUAAGGGGCUACAAUGUCAUGGGCGAAGGCCCAUAUGCCCAAAAGACCCAUACCCUCUAUUACCACCAACCAGGUGAUCAAAAGUACGCCCAGUACUCCACAAUUAUUCGACAACCUGCCGCUAUUACCACCAACCAGGUGAUGAAAUGUACAACCCGUACUCUAAAAUCAUUUGGCAACUAGUCAUUCAUGCCACCAACCAGGUGAUGAAAUGUACAACCCGUACUCUCCUUCAUGCCACCAACCAGGUGAUCAAAAGUAUGCCCAGUACUUCAUAUUAUACAUGAACAUUACUCAUGUCAAUCAUACACAAACAUUCAUGAGUAUCACUCAUAUCAAUCAUACAUAUACAUUCAUGAGUAUCACUCAUGUCAACAUUCAUGAGCAUCACUCAUGUCAACAUCCAUGAGCAUCACUCAUAUCAAUCAAACAUUCAUGAGCAUCACUCAUGUCAAACAGCUUCAAAAGCUUCAUUUACAAAAGCUCUAGCUUCAAAAGCUUCAUUUACAGAGCUUCAGCUUCAAAGCUUCACUUAUAAAGCUUCAGUGCAGGGUAUACAAAUACCGCCUCCGAACAACCGCCACUUCGGCCCAUACAUGGAUUCAAUUUGAAGUCUCCAGCUAACAGACUCUAUUGACCGAAAAGACUUGGGGGACUACAUUAUAUACCAUAUAUUGGGCCUCAACUGGGCCUCAUAAAAAAUACUUGGGGGACUUAGCCCAUUAUCUAUGUACUGAGGAGCGAACCCUUAUUCUAUAAAAGGGACUUCCUCACUUUCAUUAGAGAGCAUCGCCGCCAGCUGAGCAACCGCCUCGCCGCGAGCAUCACUCCUAACCCAUCACUUAUGUAUUGAGGAGUGGGCCCUUAUUCUAUAAAAGGGACUCCAUCACCAUCAUUAGAGAGCAUCAACUCUAGCCCAUUAUCUAUGUACUGAGGAGCGAGCCCUUAUUCUAUAAAAGGGACUCCAUCACUUUCAUUAGAGAGCAUCGCAGCCAGCUGAGCAACCGCCUCGCCGCGAGCAUCACUCCUAACCCAUCACUUAUGUAUUGAGGAGCGGGCUCUUAUUCUAUAAAAGAGACUCCCUUACCAUCAUUAGAGAGCAUCAACUCUAGCCCAUCAUUCAUGUAUUGAAGAGCGAGCCCUUAUUCUAUAAAAAUGACUCUCUCACCUUCAACGCCACAAGCCGAGCCAACCAAGGCAACAUAAGCCACGAGCCGAGCAGCCUCGCAGCAUGUGCUACUUCUAGUUGAGCAUCAUCUCAGAUUGAGCACCGCCUCAUAUCGAACAUCAGUUCAAGACAACGUCUAGUUACUUCGGCCCACACAUGGACUGAAUUUCAAGUCUCCAGCCAAAAGACUCUCUUGACUGAAGACUUGGGAGACUACUGUUUAUACCAUAUUUAGGGCCUCGUAUUUAGAUCUUGUACAAAUACUCAGGGGACUUAAAUGUAAUUAUGUGAUAAAAGAAGGGGCAAAUAUGUAAUAAGUGAGGAGUCCUUAUUCUAUAAAAGGACCCCUCACCCUCACAAUUAGAGGAGGCCAAUUCCUAGGCCCUCUCACCCCCUCUCAACGCUCUCACUAUCAGUGCUCCCUCUCCCUCAGAUAAAUACAUAAUCAAAGUGGACGUAGCCCAAACCUUGGGGUGAACCACGAUACAUCUUGUGUCAUUUACAUUACUUGCAGAUUCACGGUCGGAUUUACGUUGUUCCAAAACCUCCGGUUUUGUGCAUCAACAGCCCUUACAUUUAUAUAGAAGAAAAGAGGGAAACAAAAACUUUACAAGAACCUAACAAUUUGCCCAUGCCAUCAGACAUGGAUGUAUUUAUUCACUAAAAAAAAUGCGUUAGUUGUAUUAUUUUACUAGAACCGAACAAUUUGCCCAGUAGACAUGGAUGGUGGAAUAUCUUGAUCAAUAUUAUUCCUCGUUUGCUCUCGUCGUUUCUAAGAAAACAAUGUUUUGUGGUUUUAUUAAAUAGCUGGAGACAAAAUGUUUCGAUCUUGUUCGUUUCUCUGUUUGUAUGCUUUUAUACAUGUUAUUUCUAAACAAUUUGUUUGUUUUAUGGUGGGCAUCUUUAAAAGUAAGAUACCCAUUUGUUUUUAAAGAAAUGUUAUUGUCACCUAAAAAUUUAAGUGUGUAUUUAUAAUUAUUUAUAUUUAAAAAAAAAUAUUCUUACAAUGAAUGUACAAUUAGAUUUUUGUAGUGUAAAUUUUCUGUCUUCAAUUUCGACUACUCGAAAUAUAUGAUCCGAUUGACCCCCAAACAUUGAGGUUUAAAUAUUUAUGGCUGGGGAAGACGAAUUCACCCAAACCUCGAACUCCUUUUCUUAGGAAAUAAAUUGAAAGUUAUAAUCUAAGGCCAAAUUCAAACCGAAACAACAACAUUCUAUUCUAUAAUUUCUCCUAGUCCUGAUCGGUUAGGGAUUCUAGUUAGUUCGUUUACAAACUACGUUGGCUAAUAUAUUUCAGUUACAACUUCAUAUAUAAAUGCAUUCUUCGUCGAAUUAACAAAUAAUCAGUUUGUAUCUAUAUAUAUAAAGUGAGAGCCCUAGUUUGGUGAAGCAUUUGAUAAACCAAAAAUGCCCUCACUUCAUACACUAUACCAACGUUAAUUGUCCAAUAAAAUUAGGGUCAAAAUUGUAAUAUAAUACAACGAAAUUCUACUGUGCGAAUAAUACAUGCACUCAUCUGAACAAUGACAAUUUUCAACCACUAGAUAAAAAUAUACACACUUAAAAUUCAUUGUGACCCUUAGAUCAAUCCUCCCACAAAUACUGCAUCACAUUCUAUCUUUCCACCAAAACCAAAAUAACAAAUAAAUUGAUAAAAACUGACAAACACUCCCUCCAAAUUAGAGUAGAACUGUCAAACACGUUGUCGCACAAAACAGAACACCGGUUGCAGCAGUUGCAAAGAUCGGAGAUAGAACCACCAAUCUACCACACGUUCUAGAGGGGAUAGCGAUCAUUCCAACCCCAAAUGCACAGAAAAGAGGAAGAACUCAUUUUCGUCUUCUGCACAAACCUCUCAUCCACGUGUUUUUCCAGAGUUUCUUCUGCAUCCACACUCAAUUUACACAAAUUCAGGUGAUUUUUUUUUCAUAAUUUCUACCCUCCAAUUAAGUAAUAUUACCCACAUGAAUCUGCUUUUCCGCUUGUUUUGUUUAUUAUUCUAUAUAAUUUAAUAAGGAAAUUCGAAUCAUUGAUGGCGUAGGAUGGGAUUGCUGGGCGUUCAAAAUUGCUCAGUGAUUAGUACUUAAUCGACCACACUGCUUAUAUUAUUUAAACUUAAUUGUUGUCAUAUGGGUUUUUCUGGAUUCCAUUUCUCUUAUUUAUGUGAUUUGAGUCAGUGGUAGUCAGGUGCAUGCAAUGAGAGACAUUUGAGGCUAUAGCUGGGAAUUUGGUUUCUAUAAAAUUACUUCUGCAAUUGGUCAGAAUUUAUAGGAGUUACUAAAAUUACCCCAUUACCAGUUUUUGUUUUACUAUAGUUGGUAAUGAUUUGUAAGCAGAUUGUACAUUGAGGUAAUGUGUGAAUUGAAUUCUGAUGGUUAAACUAAUACGACAAACUGGUAAAAAACCAUCACUGAAAAAAGAUAAAGCAUCACAACUGUAGAGUUUUGCCUAAUGAAGAAUUAGAACCGCGACGUGGGAUUCAACCACCCUCCACGUUCUGCAAACUACAAACCAGAUUGACAAAGACUCUUCCUCUACAGAAAACGAGGGGAGGGAGAAAUAGAGAUACAUAUUGACAAAGACUCUUCCUCUACAUCGACUGAUUCUUAUCGCAGGUAACUUUCAAACUUGAUUCUCAAUUUUCUAUGUAUUCCUUCCAGCGUUUGUUCAAACUUUCAAACUUGACUCUACUCGCCGUGAUCAACAACUGCAGCUUCUUGAAACAGCCUUUCACUCGUCAUAAACGACAAGUGUGGCUUCUUUACCAGUAUGUUUAUUAGUCUCUUUUCUAAUCAAAUUCAUUGCCAUUAAUUAACUGUUUCUCAUCGAUCAUUCAUUUCUGAUCAUAUUUUCAAUUUCCGUUCUAUUCCCAUUUAUACAUCUUUUUCAAUUGUGUAUGAAUUAUUUGCUUUGAUGAAGCAGAAUUAGAUUUGCGUUCAUAUUCAAUUCUAAUUAAUUGACGAUGUCCUUUGAGAGCGAGCCCAAACUAUCUAGCGAUUCGAUAUAAUCGGAGAAAGAUUUUCCAGGGUGAACCAUAUCCUUUACCUGACUAUUGAGCCGUAAAGUUUCCGGUUUCUUAAGGUUUCGGAUAUCCACUCAAUCUAUUGGGACCUGUCUGGAAAUCCCCACAGCCAUGUGACUUGCGAUUCUUCUUCUUAAUAAACGACUUAGUUUUUGCAUUUUUUGUUCGAAUUCAAAGUUUUUUUUAUACAAAUUUGAAGCUUUUCUUCAAGCUUAUUCAUUAUAUAGAUUCCAAAAUUUUUAAAUCCUCUCAAAGUAGUAGGGAUUUGGAAAUGAACUCUGCUAGAGAAGGUGGCUUGCGUUGAAAUUACCAUAAUAACAGUGUUGGGUUGGGAAUUUUUUACUGGUUUUUUAUUUAAUAUGUUUUGAAUCUUAUCUUGCAACCUGUUGUUUUUCUUCAUGGGGUUCAGGAGGAGGAACUUCACCAAGUAUUCAAAGUAAUCAAAGAUUCUUCAAUCCCGAGUUUUACCGAUCAUUCUGUUUGAUCAGGUUGCUACUUCACCCUUUAUGAUAAGUUAUUAGAUGCAUUUCAGUGUGUCCUGCAUUUGAUAACUGAGUUAUUUCGUUAUUGCUAGAAAGGUAAAUUUUACGCUAGAUUGCAAUGCAAGGUAUGUAACUCGAUAGUUUGAUGAGUUUGAAUUAUUUUUUUUAUUAGGGCUGUUGCUACUUAUUUAAUUAUGCUUGGCAAUUAGCCUGCUUGAUCGGGGGUAUGAUCGUUGUGAAUGCCGUAUGAUUGCAAUGGCAAAAUUUUAUUGAUUCAAGUGUGAAAUAGAUAAACAAAUAAGAAAAAACCAUGUUCAUGCGUAAACCAUGUCAUUGUCAUUGAAAAAACUAUAGGUAACCCUCUAAAAAUUAAUAGAUGAAGUCAAUGGAAUUGAGAGCUAUGUAAUCCAAGUCCCAGUUGCAUAUGUUAUUGGUGCAUUCAAGAGCUAGCUAAUUGAGGAAGAAAUUCAGAGGUUGAUGUAAGUUGUCUGCAAAGCAUCAUAACCUAGGGUUGAAGCACUUAGCUUUUCUCUACCCUCUUCCAUAUAAUUAGGAUUACAAGUUGUUUUAGAUAUUCAGUUAAUUUUGAAGCCAUUGGCAAUGUUUCAGUUGCAGAGUUUGAUUUAUCAAUUAUCUGCUAAAUGCAUGGAAUUUCAUCUUUUUUACUUUCAAUUUUGGGUCAAAUGUUGGGAAAUUUUUACUGGUUUUUUUAUAUAAUAUGGUUUAAAUCUUAUCUUGCAGCCUGUAGUUUUUCUUCAUGGGGUUCAGGUGGAGGAACUUCACCAAGUAUUCAAAGUAAUUAAAGAUUCUUCAAUCCCGAGUUUUACCGAUCAUUCAAUUUGAUCAGGUUGCUACUUCAUCCUUUAUGAUAAGUUAUUAGAUGCAUUUUAGUUUGUGAAACUAGGAAGGGCAUUCUUUUUGCUUAGUUGUAAGAUACUUGAGAAGCCGAAUAUUACACUUAAUCAAAGAACCGAAAUGGCAAUGUGCUAUUUCACUUUGUUUCUUUGAUGACUCAAAAUUGUAAUAUGAUUGAACUGAAUGAUUACCUGUUUUCAUCUGCAUCUCCAGAUUCAUUUCUUUCAUUUUUAGAAUCAUCAACUCCAUGAUUACCUGUUUUCUUUCAUAUAUGUUUUUCUUUUACUAAUUUAUGUUUUAACUUUUCGUUCUCUUUCAAUUUUCGUAAAUCUGAGUUUUAGAAAACACAUACAAUUCAUGUUACUAACAAAACUUUUGAUGCUUUUACACACUCAUUGGGAUUGUGUAAUGGUACAAGAUUAUUGUGUCGUGGUAAUUACCAAAAUCUUAUUGAUGCUGAAAUUCUAACUGGACAAUUUGUCGGAUCCAAAGUUUUCUUACCAAGAAUCCCUCUCAAAAGUACUAAUACUGCUGGGCUUCCAUUUAAACUUACAAGAAAGUAGUUUCCAGUGAAACUAAGUUUCUCUAUCACUAUAAACAAAUCUCAAGGUCAGACAAUACCACAUGUAGGCAUUUACCUUCCAGAUCACAUCUUCAGUCAUGAACAAUGAUAUGUGGCUUUAUCGAGGGGGGUCUCAAAGUCAACCACAACCGUGUUAGUAAAAAAUGGCUCCAUAAUCAGCCAACAAGGUGUAUUUACACGGAAUGUAGUAUACAAAGAAGUCUUGCUUCAUUCCAGCUAAUUAUGGUGAUUUCUAAUAGGUAACAAUUUUAUUAUCGAUAACCUUUCAGUAUGCAUUUCUCACUUAUCAAUUAACUCUUUUUAUUUGAUUUUUAAUUUUCUCACUAUCAUUUGUAGAUUGGCAAUGAAAAUUUGAAGCAUCAAUCAUGAACAAAUGGGUGGAAAUUGCAGCAUUGAUAUCAAAAUGAAAACUUUUUUUUCAAAAGAAACGGUGACAUAUAGACUCUAUGGGUAUUGUGAAUAAUGUACAUAUUGUUAUGCAAGAUUUAUAUUUUGACAUUUAAGUUGUUUUGUAUUUUUCUACGAGUAAUGUUUUCAUCUACUCUUUUUUUUACAUCUACUUACUAUUGUCCAUGGACUUUAGGUAGGAACUUGCGUCUAAAAUCCCAUGUUGUUUGACAAGUGCAUGAAUAACAUUUAAAUCAUUACUUUACGCAAAGUAAAAACGAAAAACAUGAUAACUUUUUAGGAUAUGCAUGAUAAAAAAAGAGUUCCUCUUUGCACAAUACAUUUAAAAUAUAUCUUGACAAUUACGAUGGGAAAAACUAACACAAUACACAUUUAGGGGCGCGUAGCACCCGUGAUGUAAAAAUGCCUCUCGCACGCACAUUAGUGGGUGCGGAGAGGCUAGUAAUUAAUUAAGAACAAGAGGACUCGAAACAGAAGCAGCAAAACAUGACCAUGACCAACAACGACAACGUUUUGGAGCCGCCCAUCAAUUUCUCGAUGGUGGAUGAGGGCGUAUUCCGAUCAGGCUUCCCGCAGCCGUCAAACUUCCCAUUCCUCCAAUCCCUUCAACUCCGUUCCAUUAUCUAUCUCUGCCCCGAGCCCUACCCGGAGGAGAGUUUGGAGUUUCUUCGGUCGCAAGGCAUUCGGCUCUUCCAGUUCGGAAUCGAGGGCAAGAAGGAGCGGUCUACGUCUCCGCUGAUUCCAGCAGAGACCAUCUCCGAGGCACUGAAAGUUUUGGUUGAAAUUGAGAAUCAUCCGGUGUUGAUCCACUGCAAACGCGGCAAGCAUCGGACUGGUUGUCUGGUGGGUUGCCUGAGGAAAUUUCAGAAUUGGUGUUUGUCUUCGGCGUUAGAGGAGUACCAGCGGUUUGCCGGCGAAAAAUCUAGGGGGACGGAUUUGAGAUUUAUCGAGACGUUUGACGUAUUGGGCCUCAGGGGGGAUGCCUUCACGGCAUUGUCCGCCAUUAUUAUUAAGUUUAUGCUUCCGGAAAGAGGCGGUUGUUGUACAAACAAGAGUUGCAAACCCAUAAACCCUAGGUGAUGUUUUAGUUUUUACGUGUUGAAAUUUUAUGCCCUUUUAGUUGUACCAUAAUGAAAAUUCAUUCAUUCGCUUAGUGACGGGUCCCACGUAUGGGAGUGAUUUUUUUGUUGUUGUUGAUUUAGCAUAAUCACGAAAUUUAGACAUGCUUAUAAAUUUAGUCCUCAAUUUAGGAGUAGGAAAUUUUUAAGAAUAUAUGGACAUGCAUGUUUACUUAAAAAAUUAGAAUGAAAAAUUAUGAAUGGAGAAAGUCAAAAAUACAAUGAAAGAAAUUCAUAUAAAAUUAACUACCCCUGAUAAAUUUGAUACCUGGAAUGAGAAUAAAAAGUCAUGAAUUGAGAAGUUGGAAAUAAGAUAGAAUAAAUCCGUACGAAAUCAACUACUCCCUGAUAAAUUUGAUUCUUGGCAUGAGAAGUCAUGAAUUGAUACGAAGUCUAAUUCUAAUUCUUUUGACAUAUUUUUUUCUAUUUUUAUUUUAUUUUUUAGUUGUUAAAUUAUCAAUGUAAAGUAGAACUCAAAUACUUUUUGACUCCACAUAACCACAUAAAAAUCAAGAAUUGAAACAGAGUAAUUCUAAUACUAAUUCGUACUCUAUCCUAGUGCAAAAAGUUAGAAUUGUAAAAAUUUAGAGCUGAUCUUGGUGAAAUAUAGAACGUCAUAGGACCAUGAUUCUGGAACUCCUUUCCCUCCUUCGACUGUGGUCGGCCUGGGUCAGAUUUCUUCGUUCAGGGAUUUACCUGUUCUGAAUAGUCUGCCCUUGAUGGGUCAACUCUAGUUAGUUAAUCCAAGCAUAGGAAGAUGAGACAAAAUACACACAAAGUUGUUAGGAUAUCUUUUCUUUUUAUAUUUGAGCGAUAUUCUAGUCUAAUCCAAAUUCAUGGAAGGAGGAUUCAAAUUUGGCUACAAUCGGAUUCACAUAUUAGGAUUGAUUUUAAAUUAAAUCCAGGUUGAUAAAAAUAUUUCAAAAUUUUUAAUGGAAACUUUUUUGUGAAGGUAUUGAAGUUGGGAUUGAAACAGAAGAUAGAGCGUAAUAUAAAGUUACAAUAACAUGUUCUAUUAAAUGAAAGUGACUAAAUAUUGAAAAAAAUGCUACACUGCGUGAUCAACUCCGGCAACGAGCAUUAGCACUGCAUCCACGGUUGUAGGGAUUACUCUGAUUCUGAGCACCCGGCUUGCAGUUGUUGGAGGAAGCACCUCUCUGAGAGCAAGGCACAGUGUUUCUCUGCAGAGCUUCAUAGCUUAUGUUUCGUGAGGUGGCCAAGAUGCGCCUGCUAAUCUCCGAGUCCAUGCCAAAUUCAUCAUCACGAUCAUCCAUACACUCUGCUACAGAACCCUCGCGGCGAGGUCUCACUGGAACCCAGCUCACCCCAUGAUCGCCGCCUGCAUCAACGGAGAUGAUCAGAGCGGCCACGAAGGCCAAGGAAAAGAUAAUCGCUGAGGAAUUGGCCAUAGGUUUUGGUAUGGUCUGUGUUUUUAGCUGCCAACUUGUAUUUUGUUGUACGCCUGUUUAAUUACUGAGGGAGACAGAUGGGGCGGCAAGAGAGAGAAGAGUUGGUGAAUUCUGAUGUAUAUAUUAUUGCACUCUAUUGUGUUAUUUAUAGUAGUAAAAAGUAUAAAAAAGGGAAAGUCCUAAGGGAAAAUCCUUAUCUUUCAGGCAAUCCAUCUUAAAUAACACACAAUCUACAAGAUAUUCUGCAGUCCCAUAAGGAUUUUUUACACAAAAAUUCCUAGUAAGUUUGGACUUUGAUACAUUUAAAUUUGAUUAAAUGGAAAAUUGGAUGCUGAUUUCUUCAAGGAGGUGAUUGUGGAUGCAAAUUUCUUCCUCCUUGAUCUUGGACAAAAUUGGACCUACAAAACAAUUAACACCUUAGGGUCAAGGCCAAGAGCCUCACGUGUCCACGAUGAACGCGGGGGGGGGGGCUUUGGCCGUUUGGCCGAAGAACCUCUGAUGCCAAAGUUAGAAUUUAGAGAGAAAAGUGUUUAGAGAGUAUUGGGAAUUUUGCGUGUUGGACCUAGGUUUUGGUGAAAAUGGGAGCCAAUACAUAGGGCAUAGGGUGUAACUUAUGGUUUAAUGUGUGAUUUAAUGGAUUAAUUAGGCAAUUAAUCGAUUAAUUGGUUAAUCAACACAUUUUUGGCAUAAAUAUUUUGGGGGUUAUGUAAUUUAUACCUUGUGGAAAAUAUAGGAUGAGGAUGGAUGAAAUAACUUUGAAUUUGUUACUUAUUUUGGGCAUGCUUGAUUUGGUUGAAGGAUGAUUGCCCGCUACUCGCGCGUAGGAAUCCCGUUGUACCUCAAGGGUAUUUUUGUCUUCUUUUGUCCAAAAAUCCACGUGUCGCCUUGUGAUUAUUUUUGGCUCCAUAGUGAUUACUUAAAUGACUUGCACUAAUUAGCCUUAGGGCUAGUUUGGUAUUACUGUGCUUUGAAAAAAACUGCUUCUGCUGUGCUGCGAAAAUAAACAACUGUGAAAUAAAGCGGUAGAGUGUUUGGUAAACUUUUUUGUAAAAAUGCUUUUAGCAAAAAAAUCAGUGUUAAAGUGUUUGGUAAAUUUUUAUAUAAAACUGCUGUGAUUAGGUUAAAUGACUAAAAAUGAUAUAAUGUUAAAUUUAAUAUAUAAUUUUUUAUUUUUUAAUCUCUAUAAUUGUUGAGUCAUCCAAACUCUUCCAUUUUCCAAAUCCCAUUUAUAAUUCUAGAGUCAUCCUUUUCGCCUAAUUUUUUUUUUCAUCUGACGUUCAGAUCCGAUACGUUAGCGUUCCGUUGGUUAUCAGACAGGAUCAAACUAAGCGUAGGCUGUUUCCGGAUCAGAUCUAGUCGAAGAGCUCUCCCCUAUCGUACUUAACUUGAAUAAGGCAGUUUCCCACUAGCCGCUUAAAGGAGUACUCAAGGAUUACCCUAUUACCGAUCUCGAACUGGCCUCCUACUGUCCUCGCUAAGAAAGAGUCUGCCCGCUUAAUUCAAUGAAGUAGUUGAUAUUUAUCUAUUAAAGUAAUUUAUCAAUUACGGCAUUCAAGGUCGGAUGAUAACAGUUCUCUUUACCCAAGAAGCUCGGGGAAAGGAAACAGAAGCCAUGCAGACUGAAAUUGACGAACUCCCCACCCACACUAAAAAGCAAAUAAAGACCCAUGUUUAGCGUCCUCCACUCUAAGGACCACAUCAUCCAGAAGUUCAAUCUCAUUUACCUCAAGAUCAUCGACAAGAUCGAUCUUCCAAUUUCUGAGACUGAUAUUUCUACCAUUUUUUCCCCUAGUUAUAUAACUUCCACUACCACUAGUUUCCCAGUUUCAUCUCCCCUACCAUCCAUGGCGUCUGCAAGCUCUCACAAACACCCAUCUCUUCUGUCAUCCAUUACUUUCCCCAUCACUUUCCCACCUUCCUCUUGGAGUUGCAGAAGGAGCUUGCUAUGAAGAUCUGUUGUGUGAAAUUGUGCAUCUUGGAUCGAGCACUUUUUUGACAACUGGGUUUUGGAUUUGUUUCCUGGUCUACAAUGCCACGAUGAGUUGAAAAAUACUCUGAUCAGAUUUCGAUUUCGAAAAUUGAAAUCCGACAAAACAAAAAUAUCAAUGAUGAAGAUUCAAUCUCAACCCAGCGAGAAGGAGAAACGGAGGAGAGUAUUUUUGAGAUUGUGAAAGUUUCAUUAAAAUAUACUGUUCACCCGCCUCCUUGAAAAAAUAAGUUGGUUUUGAGAAAUAACAAAAUGUAGCUUCUGUUUUUUGCCACUUUUCAGCUUUUAAUGAUCUGUGACUUUUAAAAUAAGCAGUGUUACCAAGCACAAAUUGUACUCCAAUUUUUUUUCAUCCCAGCUUUUAAAAUAAUUUAAGCAGUACCAAACCUUACCUUAUUCUAAUUGCAACAAAGAAAGCUGAAAUUGGAAUAAUUCGUGAUUUGUUCAAACCAAGAAUACAAAAGCAACAACCUACUAGAAAAUAUGCUCGUAGAGAUUUACGGGUUGUUUCUGCAAGUAAUUUUGCUAAAAGCGCUUUUAUUAGAACAACAUUGAGAAAUCAAUUUUAUAAUGAUAUGAGCAUGCCAAGAGAUUAAACUAGUUUACAACAUCAAUAUUAUAAUGAUAGUACUCUCAGUUCAUUCUUGCUCAUAGAAUUAAAGAGAGAAACCGAACUAAACAACAAUGCGGACUAGCUUGGUCAACUCUCAGGCCUUUAUUCUUGAAGAUAGCAAAAUUACUCAAAGUUCCAUAUCAUAUGUAUGCAUAAAUCUUGUGCUUGGCACUUAUUCCUUGAGAAGAUGUGCAUCAAUAUCUUUAAUGACAUUGACCAUAAAGCUGAGGUACUUCUGUGGAGGCGGAUCGUUCUCGUUGAGUUUUUCAUAUUCUAAAGUAAUUUUCACAAAACCUCCUUCACUCUUUGGAGUGACCUGGAAAAUGAUCUUGUAGCUUUUGUAAUUGUCCAGCACAUGUGAUCCUUCCAGAGCUGUAAGACUCACCCACUUGUUUACUUCAUCUAUUUCCACCUUUUCCUUGAAUGUCUCGACAUUUCCAUCUACACGUCACAUGGAAAAUUACAAUGAUACAUCUAUUCAUGGAGAGAUUUUUCAAUGCUCAGAACACUGGGUGGUACAACACAUGUUAUUAUACAAACGAAUGAAAAUUAUUUUCAAAUGUCUCUUCACUUAUAUAAUGAAAUAUAAUUUAUAUAUCCAUGUUCUGAGCACACUAAAAAUUCUCUCCUGUCCAUGAUCCGAUUCUUUAUAUAUUCAUCGUCAGGUAAUGCAAACCUAAUGGCGCAUGGAUGGCCUGGUCAAUAUAUUUCAGUUUUAAUUCUAGAAGAAUCUUAUACGUACAUAUACAUAUCACGUUAGCAUGUUUAUUUCAUAGCAGGUUAGUUUGUGUUAUUCAAUAAUAAUAAUAAUAAUAAUAAUAAUGUUACAGUAUUAACUAUAAACGUAACAUUAUUAUUAUACAACUUUUUUUAACAAACAAUAUUAUCUACAUUAAGGGAAAGAGGUGAGCUUAGCCUCACAAUGUUUGAAUGAUGGAAAUAAAUUUGGACUUUUGACAAAAUUUAGAAUUUAUAAAUUAACAUGCACCAAUUCUCUUGUCUAGAUUCAUAAACAUAGAAAUUUAGAAUUUCCGCGUGAAAAAAAGGGAGAAUUUGAGACCUCCAAUUCCCAAGUUUAAAUUUCAUGUAAAUAAGUCACUCAGUACUACGGUCUUGUAGUAUUUCUCUUCACUUGAAAGUGAGAGGUUAUAAGUUCGAAUCUUGUUGAUGACGAAUUUGAUACCAAAUUAGGCUACCCAUUGUGUGGCUUUGCCGAACUCCUUAGUGUAAAAAUAUCGAUGUACUAAAAAAAAUCAUGUAAAUAGGUGUUAUUCCAAAUUUUUAUGAGUGAGAGUUUAAAGAUAACAAAAUCUAUAUUGAAUUUAUAUUAUUCUUUUAAGUUAGUCAAACAAGAAAAUUUACAAAUUCUAGAAAUAAAAUUUCUUAGUAAUUUUAAAUUUUCUCAUCCAAACAGAAUGUUAGAGUCAUGAUGUAACACCCGUCGCUUUUUAUUUAACAAAAUUAAUUAUUAGUUUAACUAGGUUAGGAGGAGAGAGGAGGGUGAUUAAUUUCAUAUUACCUAGGGUGUAUUUCCAGAGCUUGACAGAGCCAGAAGUUUCCCAGUCACCUUCAUGUACUGCAACAUCGUGUAUUUUAUCAGAGGCUGCUUUGGGGACGUCGUGGUGCUGGUUGCUGAUGACUUUGUACAACUUAUCAGCGUUGGCUUUGAUCUCUACCUCAGCCUCCACAGUCAGCUUGCAAGCACCAGCUCCACUCACUGCCAUUUUCUUUUAUUUGUUAUUAGUAAUAUGUGAUUAGUCUGGGGAAAUUGUAGGAGACGUAUACUAACCUACAGGUUUCAACUUCUUAUAUAGAGUCGCAAAGUUGUAAAUUAACAUGUUAUAAACUGAUAGUUAUGGAGGCAGCGUGUGGAUAUGAUCCGAUCACUUAAUUAAAUAGUUAUAUAAUAAUAUUGUGUCUGUGGAUCUUCCAGGCAGAGUUUUAUUAAUUAUUACAUCUAGGGGUGGAAUUUUUUCCCGAAAAUCCCGAACCGUCCCGAUCCCGUCCCGAAAUUUGACUGAAAAAUUCCCGAACCGAAUUUUCCGAAACAUUCGGUACCCGAAACCGAACCCGUCCCGAAAGUUUUGGGUUGGGAUUUGGCCACAGCUUUGAAAGCUUUCGGUAAUCCCGAACCGAACCGAUUAUUAUAUAUAUUUAUUUUUAAUUUUUAAUUAGAAAUUACUUGAACCGUUGGAUUUGUUAAAAUCUAAUCCAACCGUCCAUUAGUUAGGUCAUUUUAUUAGGUUGUGAUCAGAUCUCUCGGACUCACUCACUCUCGGUCUCUCCGCUCCACUCUCGCUCACUCUCUGCGCUCCGCUGUCACUCACUCUCUCCGCUCUCUCUUGCUCACAGUCUCAGUCUCCCUCACACGCACUCUCACAAACAGUCUCGCCGCCCGUGCUCCCGCCGCUCUACUCCUCCGUCGAAUCCACGCUGCUCCUCAUCCUCCACAACUCACGCAAACACAGGAAGGAACCAAUUGAGUCCCAAAAUCCAGGAUAGGGUUUUUAAUUUUCACUGGGGUUUUGUCCUUUCUCUCUCUUUAACUCUUCAGACAGCAUUUCACAGAAACCCAAUUAAACAUAUGAAAAUAUACAAGCAACAACCUGUAAAAUUUAACAUAAAUAAACAAUGGUAAACUACAAUUAACAUAAAAAUUGCUCACAGAGAGAGAGAGAGAGAGUUCUUACAUGAGGUGCUGCAAUUGCUUGAGAGAGUUCUUACAUGUGGCUUUGUAGCUAGUGUGGAUUGUGACCUACUUAUUUGUGUGUUUAGAUACGCAAGCUAAGUAUAGCUGAUUGGUUUCGUAUCUGUUUGAGAUUUUUAUUUUAUUUUAUUUUGCUGUCAUAAUGUGCAGGACAAUCCCAAUUUCGAGGGUGAAACAUGUAGGAUCACUACUAGAAAUUUCCACUUUGCCGACAAAAAUAGUUUGUAGGCAAAAGUCAAAAUUCGUCGGCAAAGAGCCUUUCCCAACGAAAAAUUUUGUCGGCAAUUUUGUCGCUAAAAGCAUGUCGCGCAAGAUCUUUCUCGACAAAUCUUGAUAUUUCGUCGGCUCAUUUUUAAGGCGACAAAUCUCAGCCGUCAAACUGUGCCCAUCACCAAAACAACAUUGCGACAAAAUAUUUUGUCAGCAUAGGUUGUUUCUUCGCGAUGAAAUUAUUUGUCGGCUUAGUGAUCUUGUCGCGACAAAAUAUUUGUCGGCUGAGUAAUCUUGUUGCGACAAAACAUUUUGACGGCUAAGUAAUCUUGUCGUGACAAAAUGGUUUUUCGGCUAUGUAGUCCUAUGACAACAAAUUGGUUUGUCAGCUCAAAUGACUUGUGUAGACAAAAUAAUUAGUUGGUUGAAUCUUUUGUGAACAAAAACAUUUGUCGGCUAAUUAAUUUUGUGCCGACAAAACAUGUCAAGUCCAAUAUUUUCUAAUUUUUAAUAAUAUUUUUAACCAUCACAAACAAGCAAGCUUAAGAGAUCGAGAAGGGGCGUGAAUGAAGAAUUAAUGUAGGAACAACACAAAAUUCAUGUAAUAUAAACUAAUGUAAGGUUCACAAUUCGGUGUAGCUACAAAAUACAAAAAUAUCUAUGUUUUCAUUUCGAGAUUACUAUAAUAUAGAUAAAAUAUCCUUAAGUAUCACCAUUCUCACUAUAGUCCUCAUCAAGUUGAUAUGCAGCAUCAUGAAAUCGGGAAACGAUAAGGAUCAUCAUGAAACACUCCAGUAUCAAACAACUGUAGAAGAAAAACAAAUUAAAAAACUUGAUUAGCAAACGUUAAGGGUGCUAAAUAUCAUUGACAUUAAGGAACGCAAGGCCACACUAGUGGUAUUUCUAAACAAAUAACUUAUGAAACCAUAAAUGUGUAAACAACAAGAUAAAGAUAUCUACUAAUCAAGUUAACUUACCAACGCCAUGCAGCAUCACAACCUAGCAAAAUUACAUGUUUAAUAGAUACCAGGUAAUAACCAAGUUAACAUCAACUACUUAUAUGUCAUUCAUCAUUGUAAACAACAAGAUAAACAUUAUAAACAGCAAGGCAACAUGAUUAUCACUCUGUAAACAAGGCAGCAUGAUAAGUAGAUCAUAUAAAUCCUUGAAAGGUAUAUAAUUUAUAUAAACAUAACAAUACCAAUCACCUAUCUAAGUAGGUUAUAACUCUAGAACAUAAGCAUAUGCACCUGGAAACAUAAAUAAACUAUACUAAAGCAUCCUAAUUCAUCAUUGUUUAUAAUCUUUAUCAGUGUAAACAAGAAGAUAUAGACAUCUACUAAUCAAGUUAAUCCUCAAAUAUCAAAAUUACCUGGUGUGAAUGAUCCUCACAUUGGUCUCCAUGCCGUGCUGAUACCAGUUGUAAGCUAUCUAGCCCAGAAUUCCACUGAGCCAUAGACAACCUGCAAGUGUUAUAGAAAGGAAAAACAAAUAUGUCAAACCUAGACCACAAUAUCGAAAAAUUACAGUGGAAAUCUGGAAUUAAAGUCAAAGGACAUUGUUUUCACCAAUAUUAUACAAAUGGAUUGCCAAAUCAACCAAAAAUUGGAAACCUAGAUCAUAAAACUCGAACCCAAAUGAAAUAGUUCAAUUAAGAACAUGUUUUUCAUCCAUAUAUGCGAUUCAAUCAAAGCAAAUACAAUUAUUUCAUUUUCCAAUAAAAACAUGGAAAACGAAUACAAAAACAAACAAACAAGUUAGCAAAUUAAUGUGGUAAGGAAAAUGCAUAUACAAAAUCAUGAUAAAACCUGCAAUCAUGAUAAAAAAAUAUAAUAUUACAAAGAUAGAAAAAAAUUCCAGCCUUGAAUAUUUAUAACACAAAGAGAAUGAAAACUUCAUUUUAUAUCCAAUUCUACUCUCUCACUGACUGAUUAAUUAUGUGUGUUCCCCAUUUCCCAUAUACCAUUCCAUUCCAUUAGUUUUAAUAGGAAAGAUCAUCCAAAUCAUCUAAAACAAUGAAAACUUCAUUUUAUAUCCAUGAACAAAAGCUCCAAACUCUGAAAAACAAAACCAAUUUUAAUUCAUUCCAGAGCAACUGAAUAAAACAGAACUAAACACAACUGAGAAGAAAAACUGUUUAAGCCAAUCACACAGACUAUAUUAAAUCUUUACAAACCAACCGAAUGAUGCAGAAAUGCUUAAUAACAAAAUAGUUAAGCAACAAAUCAUGUAAAAUAAUCAUAAGUCAACUCAACAAAACCAAACAAAACACCGACACCACUGAAUAAACCCUGCCCAUUGGAAAAAAAUAAUACCUAACAAAGAACCCAACCACUGCAAGUGUAAAUUCAAAAGACAUAAGCGUUCAAACACUGCAAAAAUAAGUGGAAGAAAAACACAAAGUCACCAAAGACAAAAGCUUCCUAAAACGAAAAAUCAAACCAGAUGGAACAACCAUAGACAAAUGAUCACAAAAUAGAAGAAAACAUUUGAAAGAAAGAGCUAACAGACCUUUAUUCGAAAGGGCUUGCAACGCUGUUCACAAAACCCCCAAACUCUGGAGACCAAUAUUUUCUGCAACACAAAAGCCAAUCAGAUUAGGGAACCACACCGAAAUCACUAAAAAAAUAACCAAACAAUGAAUGAAAAACGCUAAAAGUUCAAUUUCACACCGAUCAAGCAAUAAUGUAUAGGAAAACCCUAAACCCGAAAGACCCAAAUUUCCCAAAACGAAAAAUCGAAUUAGAUCGAACAGCCACACCAAAAUAAGCAGAAAAAAAGAAGAAAACAUUCGAAACAAAAAACUUACAGACCUUAAUCACAUAUGCUCUGCAAGACUAUUCCCAAAAACCCUAAAAUUCACACACCAACUUUUGCUGAAACCAAAAACCCAAUCGGAUUAAACAAACACGCUAAAAACAAAGAAAAAAUUAGGAAACAACCAAUAUAACACAAACACUCUAAUUUUACAGGCAUCAAUCUGCAAAUUUUCUUCCCAAUCAAAGAAAACACACACACACACACACAAAAAAAAAAAAAAAAAAGAGAAACGACCUCAAACAGCGCAAUGAAUCAGAAAAAGAAACUCUUCAGACAACAGAGGAUCGAUGCAGAGAGAUAAGCAGAGACACGAAAGAUCAAGGCAGGCGGAAGAACACAUAAACAAAGAGGAAGAAAAAAGGGAAAGCUACGGAAGAAAAUAAGCGAUCCCUCGCUUCCGCACCAAAAACGACGGAGACCACGUGGUAGAUGCAGCAAUUGAAAUUAAACAGACCAAGCAGGGGCAAUUGCGUCACAACACUGUUACUUUCACUGUUCAUCAACAGUGUUCCACCCGUUUGGGUUUUAGUAUAUAUAGAAUUUAUACUUUCAUUAAGUAUAACAUAAGAAUCUGUGGUAUCCACAAGUGUAAAUAUUUUAAAUUGAAGAUCGAGCUCAUUCAUUGUAUUCAUAUAGGAUCAAGGAGUGUAGCUGUACAAAAUCAUCAAAAUCGAAGUUAAAAUAACCGUUAAAUCAUGAUUUUUCGUUUAUAACCGUCAGAACGUUUUGUCUCCUUACAUGAUCUCUGAAGGUUUUUUUUUUGCAAUUUUUGGCGUAUACGAUCUCGAAACAUAUAUAAACAAGUUUGACGGUUGGAUCGUUGAAACUAGUUUCGUAUAAUGCGUAUCCUAUGAAAAUGAUAGAUUCACUAACACUUAGAGUUUAUUUAUACUUUCAUUAAGUAUAACAUAAGAAUUUGUGGUAUCCACAAGUGUAAAUAUUUUAAAUUGAAGAUCGAGCUCAUUCAUUGUAUUGAUAUAGGAUCAAGGAGUGUAGCUGUAAAAAAUCAUCAAAAUUGGAGUUAAAAUAACCGUUAAAUCGUGAUUUUUCGUUUAUAGCCAUCAAAAAAUUUUGUCUCCUUACAUGAUCUCUGAAUGUUUGUUUUUUGCAAUUUUUGGCGUAUGCGAUCUCGAAACAUAUAUAAACAAGUUUGACGGUUGGAUCGUUGAAAUUAGUUUCGUAGAAUGUGUAUCCCAUGAAAAUGAUAGAUUCACUAACACUUAGAGUUUAUUUAUACUUUCAUUAAGUAUAACAUAAGAAUUUGUGGUAUCCACAAGUGUAAAUAUUUUAAAUUGAAGAUCGAGCUCAUUCAUUGUAUUCAUAUAGGAUCAAGGAGUGUAGUUGUAAAAAAUCAUCAAAAUUGGAGUUAAAAUAACCAUUAAAUCGUGAUUUUUCGUUUAUAGCCGUCAAAAAGUUUUGUCUCCUUACAUGAUCUCUGAAUGUUUGUUUUUUGCAAUUUUUGGCAUAUGCGAUCUCGAAACAUAUAUAAACAAGUUUGACGGUUAGAUCGUUGAAAUUAGUUUCGUAGAAUGUGUAUCCCAUGAAAAUGAUAGAUUCACUAACACUUAGAGUUUAUUUAUACUUUCAUUAAGUAUAACAUAAGAAUUUGUGGUAUCCACAAGUGUAAAUAUUUUAAAUUGAAGAUCGAGCUCAUUCAUUGUAUUCAUAUAGGAUCAAGGAGUGUAGCUGUAAAAAAUCAUCAAAAUUGGAGUUAAAAUAACCGUUAAAUCGUGAUUUUUCGUUUAUAGCCGUCAAAAGGUUUUGUCUCCUUACAUGAUCUCUGAAUAUUUGUUUUUUGUAAUUUUUGGUGUAUGCGAUCUCGAAACAUAUAUAAACAAGUUUGACGGUUGGAUUGUUGAAAUUAGUUUCGUAGAAUGUGUAUCCCAUGAAAAUGAUAAAUUCACUAACACUUAGUUUAUUUAUACUUUCAUUAAGUAUAACAUAAGAAUUUGUGGUAUCCACAAGUGUAAAUAUUUUAAAUUGAAGAUCGAGCUCAUUCAUUGUAAAUAUUUUAAACUGAAGCCCUUUUGUGACGCCAGCAUUAGUGUCGCUAUUCCAAUCCGACAUUACAUUGUUUUAUGUCAGAUUUUUUUCUAAAUUUCCGAUAGAAAUUGGGUUUCUUGUCGGUUUUUGCUUCGCCACUGAUAAGGUAUAUUGCAGUAGUGGGUGUUGGUACCAAGUAACAGAUUCAUGAUAAAUCGUUCAUUUAUUUGAUUCACAUACAUUAUCUCUGAGCGGGAAGAUCCCCGCCAAAAUAUUACAUGAUAUUUUAAAUGAUUUUUCGUUAGUUUUCAUUUUUUAUUAAAGUGUAACAAGGUAUGUUUAUAUCUUUCGCCAAAAAAGUAACCAAAAAUUGUUAGAGAAGGGAGACAGAUAAUAGGGGCGUGGAUGAUAAUCAGUUAAGAGUGCAAGAAUCGUAAACCUAGGGAUAGAAAUCGUCAAAAUUGUUUCUGAGCGGGAAAGACCCCGCCAAAUUGUUAGAAGAUAAAUAAGAAUUCUUAUCAAACUGAAAUCGGAUGGCGUGAGCGAAGAAUGUGGGAGGGAAGUCAUGAGCAAUUGGGAUUAGCAUGCAAUUGGGAGGGAGAUCAUGAGGCGACAAAAUAGGAAUAGCAUGCAAUGGGAGGGAGAUCAGGCAAUUGGGGGAUGUGAACCGACAAUUGAGGGAUGUGAACUGACAAUUGGAAUAAUAGAAAUAUUAUGGGAGGGAGAUCAUGAGGCGGCAAAAUAGGAUUAGACAAAAUAUGGGAGGGAGAUCAUGCAAUUGGCAGAUGUGAACCGACAAAUUAGGUUUGGAUUGCCACGGGAAAUUUAUAAGUUUGUUCUUAUAAUCAUAUGUUAUGUUUUUAGAAAACUUGGCAUGCUUGUCGAAUUAGAAUGGAUGAUUACAUACAACUGUAUUCAAAUUUACAAUUGUAAUUGCUAAUAAUUGAUCAUAGCCUAAACCAAGUUAUAUGUUGCUAGAAAGUAGUUUGGAGUUAGAAUUGAUAGGAAGAACUUUUUCAAACACUCACAUAUUAUGAAAUCAAAUUGUCAAUAUAGAUUAUUGAUGGCAUAAAACUACAAUCCAGAAAUAUGAAAUGCUAGAUAUCUCUUUAUCUAUGCUCCCGUUCAUAUAGAGAAACAAGAGAGAAUGACAGCAUAAAUAGUUGCCAAGAGCUUUGAUUGUGUUCCCCGGAAAAAAAUGGAUAGGUGCACUGGUGAAAACCUCUCACGUAGAGUUAUUAAUACCUUACCAAUGACAUACUUUAUUGCCUCUCUAAUCAAUUUGCCGAUGAAAUACUUUGUUGCCUCACAUCAUCGGCUAAUAUUUCAAUAUAGUGGGAAAAGUUCCCGCCAAAGUUUACCCGUCAAAACAAAAUUUGUCAGGGUAUCGAAUUUACGCCUACAAAAUGAUCGUCGGCUAACGUUUCAAUUUUCUCGGCUAAGAUUGGCAUUGUAAAUUGGUUCUAGUGUGAGUAUUCAGCCGACAAAUUAAAAAUUUCGUCGAGAAAGGACUCUUGUGCCGACAAAAUUUUGCUUUGUCGGUUUAAUUUGUCGGCAAAAUUAUAAUUUCUAGUAGUGGAUAUGCAUGAAUGCAAUAAUCGACAGGGGUGUUCUCGAUUGCUGCCAGCAUUGGUAUGUGCUUUAGUGUGGUUUUGUGUGUGUGAGAGAGAGAGAGAGAGAGAGGAAUUUUAUUUUAUGACAUGGGUUCAUCUUGGGGUUUUCAGGUUCUGUUUCUCAUGCAUUGACAAUUGGGCUACCAUUACAAACCUCUGCCCGCUUUGCCAGAAUGAAUUUCAAAUGAUCACAUGUGUUUCGGAGAGUGAUGCAAAUAAACAGUUAUCGCUUUAGUAUUAUUUCUGUUAUGAUUGCUAUGGAUUAUAGAAUGGUAUUAAUGUACAACCAGUUUAAAGCACAGUUGUUACUUUGAUUUCUUAACUAUCUGUUUUCAAUAGUUUUCUUUUUGUUGCAAACAGAAUUUUUAUUUUGAAGUUUUCUCAAAAUAACGAUUUGAUGCUGGUUUGAAGUGGCACUAAAUCAUAAGAGUUUGAUUUGUAUGUGAAGGUAUACGAUACUAUUGGGAGCAUCAAAGCGGACGAGGACUCAACUUAUAGGUACUUUCAUAAUUAUGGAUAAUGUGUUUAAGUCUAUUGGUGAGGGUUCUUUGUUCACAUUUAUGCGGCACAUGUUCCCAAUUUGGAAGCUUGGUUUGUAAAACUUAACUUAUUUCAUUUUGGUUGCAUGCACUUUUAAUUAAAUAGUUUGGUAGACAAAUACAAUUGUGAACUUAAGCUUAACUUGUUAGUUGCUUCCUUUGUAUGAAAAUUGAAACAUGUGGUAUUGUGAUAUUCAUAUUGUGGUGAAAUUGAAACAGGUGGGCUGGGCAGUGGCUGUGUAACCUUAAUUUUUUUUUUUUUUGGGGGCAGUGGCUGGCUGCAAUCUUAAAAGCCCAACAUUUUGGGCUUCAAGGCCCAAUCCCGAAGUAUCCCGAAAAUCCCGAAACACUUUCGGGAAUCCCGAAUUUCGGGAAAUGCACAUAUUCGGUUCGGUUUCGGGAUAUAAAAGCCCAUCCUGAAAUGUUUUGGUUUGGGAUUCGGGAAAGGAGUUUCGGUUCGGGAUCCCGACCCGAACCACCCCUAAUUACACCUACCAAACUUAAGAGCACGCGCAAACUUGAUGAGACAUAUAUCAACACGUGAGAACAAUGAUUGAUCAACAUUACCUCCAUAGUAUUAUUAGAGUGAAUGAUUGUAUGAUAUUAAUUUACUAGAGUGAAUGAUUGUAUGAUAUUAAUUAUGCGUUAAGAUCUUGGGAAUUUUAAUGAAAAAUUACUGGUAUUAUUCAUUUUAAUAAAAAAUUACAUUUUUACAUUAAAAAGUCAAUCUUAGUACUAUUCACUUUAUUCUUUAUUUUGUCCUUAUUGUUAAAACUCAAAGUUUUCAAGUCAUUUUCAUUAAUUUUCCUUAAGAUCUUUUGAUUUGGCAUGCGGAAGUGUGUGUGUUUGUAUAUUAUAUAGGGAUAAUACUAAGUUAGGUUCAUAUUAUCUUAACUAGUGAUAAAUUAAGGGUUCUUUCGAGUUAUUCGAAACAGUGGUUUAUAUUAUCUUGACUUACGUGCAACCUAAACACAAAAAAGAGAGGCUGUACUGGCUUCCAAAAUAAAACUAGAUGCAAACAAUAAUGUGGAGUUCCGGUUACUCUUUUGGAAUCAACCAAAGCUGAAUCAUUGAUGCCUAAUUUCAGAAAGUUUUCCUUUUCUGCAUGCAGAUCUUUUCAAUGGAUGUAGCUCAGUUUUGGGAGGUAACCACUUACUUCAUCGAGUUCAUUAAUUUUAAUCAAUCUAAAGUAAUUUAACUAAGUUUAUUAACCUUACAAUGUUGAGCGUUAAUACCCAAUUUUGGAGGAAUUGCAUCACGUUUAUGUAAAGGUAAUCGAAAUAAUAGAGCGGAAUUAAAUUCCAAUUACGGAAUACUCCAGUAUUUACCAAAUAUUGGAGAAUAAAAAAUUUGAUAGCACCCACUCAAUUUUUUAAUCCAAUACUAAUUCAUAUUCAAAUUUUGGAAUAAAAAAUCUAAUACUAAUUCGUACUCAUCAAAUGAAAGUAAAAUCUAAUUCUUCAUUUUUUAAGUAAUUAUUGUAAUGUGAGUAAACGCAUGAAAAUCAUGAUUUAGAAUAUUUUCUAAUGCAGACUCUAAGUCUGAAAUUGAAAUAUAAAGAUAGCCGUUGACGGGUCGAUUCUGGUUAAUCUAGGCAUGAGAAUACGAAAAAAAUACACACAAAGUUAUUAAGAUAGCUUUCCUUUUUUAUAUUUUAGCGAUAGUCUAGUCUAAUCCAACAUUAGACCACAUUCAGUGAUUCAAACUAAGAGAAGGGGGAUUCAAACUUGGCUACACUCGGAUUCUCAUAUGAGGAUUGAUUCUGAAGUAAAAGAAUAUAACCAAGUUGAUCAAGAAAUUUCAAAAUUUCUAAUGGAAACUUAUUAGAAAUUUUUUGUGAAGGUGUUGAAGUUGGGAUUUUUUUGUUUGUUUUCGUAUUGAAGUUGGGAUUGAAACAGAAGAUAAAGCAUAAUAUAAAGUUUCAUUACAAUUAACAACAUGUUCUAUUAAAUGAAAGUGACUAAAUAUUGAAAAACAUGCUACGCCGCGUUGAUCAACUCCGGCAACGAGCAUUGGCACUGCAUCCGUGGUUGUAGGGGUUGCUCUGAUUCUGAGCACCCGGCUUGCAGUUGUUGGAGGAAGCACCUCUCUGAGAGCAAGGAACAGUGUUUCUCUGCAGCGCUUCAUAGCUUAUGUUUCGUGAGGUGGCCAAGAUGCGUCUGCUAAUCUCCGAGUCCAUGCCAAACUCAUCAUCACGAUCAUCCAUGCACUCUGCUACAGAACCCUCGCAGCGAGGUCUCACUGGAACCCAGCUCACCCCAUGAUCGCCGCCUGCAUCAACGGAGAUGACCAGAGCGGCCACGAAAAUCAACGAAAAGAUAAUCGCAGAGGAAUUAGCCAUAGGUUUUGGUACGGUCUGUGUUUUUAGCUGCCAACUUGUAUUUUGUUGUACGCCUGUUAAUUACAGAGGGAGAGAGAGGGGGCGGCAAGAAAGAGAGAGAUAAUCGGUGAAAUUUUGAUGUGUAUAUUAUUUCACCCUAUUGUGCUAUUUAUAGUAGUAAAAAGGGAAAAUUUUUGUCUUUCAAGUAAUUCAUAGGAGUUAGGGAAAAUCCUUGUCUUUCAAGUAAUCCAUCUAAAAUAGGACACUACGUAAAAGAUAUUAUACAAUUCCAUAAGGAUUUACACAAUCACAUUCCUAAUUAAAUUAAGACUCUGACAUUUUUAAGUUUGGUUAAAUAAAAAUUGGAUGUUGAUUUCUUCAAGGAGAUAAUUACUUAAUUGACAUGCUUUAAUUCAACCUUAUUCCAAUUGCAACAAAGAAAGCUGAAAUUGGAAUAAUUCGUGAUUUAUUCAAAACCUACCAAGAAAACAAAAUCAACAACUACUACAAAAUAUGCUCGUAGAGAUUUCCGGGAUGUUUCUGCUCUUAAGUGUUUUUGCUAAAAGCUCUUUUAUCAGCACAAGGUUGAGACUUUAAUUAAAAAACUAAGUUUUUCUCGAAAAAAUAUAAGCAUGCCAAUAGAUUGAACUUGUUUACAACAUCAGCAUUAUAAUAAUAUUGUUGGAAAAUAUUAGGUUUACUUUAAUGUUUGGUUUUCUGGGCUUAGCCCGUUAGUAUUAGGGUUUCGUUUUCUUGCUUAUUAGGGUUAUGUUAGUUCUCUAUAUAUAUGGUGUUUUGUAGCUUGUAUGAUUAACAAGUUAGUCACAAUGUAGUCUCUAGGGUUUUUGUAGCCGUCUCGGCAUUCUAUGUUUGAUAUCAAUAAUAUUUCUAGUUUUGUAAUCCGUUUGUUUGUUCAUUGUGGUAUGUGCACUCUGAUAUUCAACUUGGUAUCAGAGCGGGUUUGAUUCCUCGGAAUUUAAUCUGUUUUGGAUGGAUAUCAAUUUGUUCAUCUGUUUGUCCACUGCGUAUCAGUUCGUCAUGGUAUGUUUUGUUGGUUUGUCUGUCUAGUAGUAGUUAGGGUUUUGUUAUAUGUUUAAAAAAAAAAAAAAAUUGAAUCAGUUUGCUGCGUCAUGUCAUCGUCCUCUGCUAAACUUGGAAUCGCCGCCACGAACCCCACAUCACCAGCGUGCUCCUACCAUCAGGACAUCACCGCGCCAACCCGCCAUGCCUGCACCCAGUGCCACCAUGUCCCGCCUACAACCCCGUUGUCUUACCACCACCUGCUGUAAACCCACAUCGCUCGCCUGCUUGCGCGCCGUGCAGACGGGAUUUGAUAAAGCCACACCAACUUGCUGCAAAUACAUGCAGUUGAUCCGUACCCAUGAGCCUGCUUGAAUCUCCGCACCCGACCCGCUUGUCGCCUGCACCCACUGCUUGCUUGCCGUUCCCAUUGUUCGUUGACCAGAACUCGCGCUUGGUUUACGCGUUCUGGAGAAAACCAUUGGAAAAAAGGAAGCAGAAUAAAAAGUAAGAAAAAGAAAAAAAAAGUGAUGUUUGAGGAAAAGGAAAAAAGAAAAAAAAGAAAAAGAAAUGCAAAAGUAUUAGAAGUUGGGCUUGCCGUUGGUCUUGUUGAUUGUUUUGGAGAAUGACUAUGGUCGUCUGCUAUUGUACCCACAACGAUUGUUCGAGUGCUUGGAUUGUUGAUUACUCGAGUGAUUAUUGUUGAGGUUUUCGUCUGCUUGUUUGUUGCCGUUGGGCUAUUGGAAUCUCGUCCGUUUAGUGACAAGGUCCAUGCUCAAACGAAAUAUGUCUGCCCUCUGCCAUGUGAAUCUAUAUCCACCUGCCUGUCUGUCUGUCCGCGUUGCGGAGCCUGCCUGCCUGUCUGUCUGUCCGCGUUGCGGAGCCUGCCUGUCUGUCCGCGUUGCGGAGCCUGUCUGCCUGUCUGCCUGUCUGUCUGUCCCCCUAACGGAGCCAGUCCACAUCUGCUUGUUUGCAAACCCAUGUCGUAUACCGCCAUGAGUUUGACUGGGGGUGUUGGAAAAUAUUAGGCACACUCAAUUCAUUCUUGCUCAUAGAAUUAAAGACAAACCAAAUCGGAAACCGAAAUAAGCAACAGUGCUAACUAGCUUGCUCAGCUCUCAGGCCUUUAUUCUUGAAGAUAGUUAUAUUACUCAAUGUUCCAUAUCGUAUGUAUGCAUAAAUCUUGUGCUUGGCGCUUAUUCCUUGAUAAGAUGUGCAUCAACAUCUUUAAUGACAUUGAAUAGAAAGCUGAGGUACUUCUGUGGAGGCGGAUCGUUCUCGUUGAGUUUUUUAUAUUCUAAAGUAAUUUUCACAGAACCUCCUUCACUAUUUGGAGUGACCUGGAAAAUGAUCUUGUAGCUUUUGUAAUUGUCCAGCACAUGUGAUCCUUCCAAACCUGUAAGACUCACCCGCUUGUUUGCUUCAUCUAUUUCCACCUUUUCCUUGUAAGUCUCGACAUUUCCAUCUACACGUCACAUGGAAGAGUACAAUUAUACAGCUAUCCAUGAUCCGAUCCUUUAAAUAUUCAUCGUGUGGUAAUGUAAACCCUAUGGUGCAUGGAGGUCUUGUCAGUUUUAAUUCUAAAAGUACAUACAUAUGAGGUAACGCAAACCCCUAGCUUGCUAGGUUUCAAGUUAGCAUGCCUAAUUAUUUUGCAGCAGGUUAGUCUGUGGUAUUAAAAAAAAAUUGUUAGUCAUAAGUAUAACCUUAACAAUGUUUGGUUGUAAUUUGCUUGCUCCUUCAUGCAAUCUCACAGUCUCACUACCAGCUCCACAAGUUUGCGGAGUAAGCUGCUUCAUUCACCCCAAAAGGGGUUCAUUUCACUAUCUUUUACACAGCGGAGGCUGUAUAAAGCUACGACAGAACAAAAUUCGGCACCCGGGAGAGGGACGAUCUCCAGAGAUUCUUUUACAUUUUUUGUAUUUCUUUUUUUGUUGAAUCAUUUCUUGUAAUUUAAACAUUUAGCGUCAUCUUGUAAUUUAAAUAUUACCUAUGGUGUAUUUCCAGAGUUUGACAGAGCCAGAAGUUUCCCAGUCACCUUCAUGUACUGCAACAUCGUGUAUUUUAUCAGAGGCUGCUAUGGGGAAGUCAUAGUGCUGGUUGCUGAUGAAUUUGUACAGCUUAUCAGCGUUGGCUUUGAUCUCUACCUCAGCCUCCAUAGUCUCCAGCUUGCAAGUACCAGCUCCACUCACAGCCAUUUUAUUUUAUUUGUUCUUUAUAAUAUGUGAAUAACGAUAGUGUAAGUCUGGGGAAUU